AAAUACACCAUUUCUUCAUCCUCCAUUUCCUCAAACUCCGUUCAACAAAUCCUUUUCCCAUCUCUUCUCUCCUUCUCAAAUUCUCCCGGCCACCGGUCUCCACCGUAAUGUCCCUCGCAUACGCCGUCGCUCACUCUUCUCAGUCAACGCAACUCCGCAUCAGAAACCGCCGGAAAACCAGUUUUCGAAAGCGAUGCUUCCGGAUGAUCAAGCAACAGAAAACCAGAUUUUAUAUCCUCGGCCGUUGCAUCUCCAUGCUUCUUUGUUGGCACGAUCAUGAUAUUACUGAUUAAAUCGCCUAAUUCCACCGUCGAUUGUUGUUUUCUUCCCUCCUAUUUCGACAAUCAACGUUCUUUUCGCCCGCGAGAUCCUCCGAUCGGUAAUUGAACUCCGAUUCUGAAGGAAAUGGAGGUAAAUCGGAAUCUUGAUUAGGUAUCAAAUUGAUCGGAGGAGUUAGGUAUACGGUUUAAUUUCUCACCGGCCGUUAUAACAUACAGCGCCGUGAUUCGUUCGCUUGGAGUAGAUUUCUCUUGAUCGACAGAGAAGAGACAAAUUGAAGGCAAGCAAAAACUAGUUUAAUUUCUCUUUGAACUUUUCUUCUAAUUUUAGUUUGUUAUUAGAUCGUUGAUGACCUUCAUUCGACGUACGGAUACAUGUAUAUAAACUGAUUAGAAAAAUUAAAAAAAAAAAAGGUUUUCUUUUUGUUUUGAAAUCGGACUCUGUUUUUGAGAACGAUUUGAAUUGAAUCUCUGUAUUUAUGAAUUUUGUUGAGAUUUAUCAAUCAUCAGAUUAUCAGUUCUUAUCUUAAUGGAUUCGUUUGCAAAUUAUGAAGAAAGUCAACUUUUUUUCUUCUCUAUACAUAGUUCAUAAUUUUAAUUUGAUUUUUGUGCGAUAAAGAAGUGAGCAGGAAAAUAGUUAUCCAAUUGUGGAAAUAUGUACAAAAAAUUACUUCUUUUCUUUGUUUAAAAUAAUAUUUUCUUCCACUUGUAAAAUCAACCGUAAGUUAAAUAAUAUAGAUUAAAAUUAAGUUUUAUGUCGUAGGAUACCACACGGGUUUACGUGUACAUCACCGAUACAUCUCUAUUCUUUUCAUCAAGAAUUCUUAAAAUUAUUGUGACUUAUCUUUUAAUUUGCCUCUGACCAUCAAAUGAAAUGUGAAUAACUCGUCCUCCUCUCCUUGAAACAAGAAACGCUUUUGAUUCCCUUUAAAUAAUUUAGUCUUCUCUAUAUUACUAUAUCUCUAGAGUCGAUAAUUUAUAUGAAGAAUUAUUACUAUUCAGUUUUCCAUUGAGGUCCUCCAAUGGAGGUACUCAAAUUGGUUACUUCCAUUUCAUGCUUAGAACAAUUCUAUAUUAAAUAAUCUCUUUCUUAUAAUAUAAGACGAUAUUGAUGGGUAUGCAAGGAAAAAUGUGGAAGAUUCAAAUACAAUCUUGUUUGGGUAUGGAGGGUUACAUUUUGAUUCUCAAUUUAUUUAUUUUCUUUUUUUACUUUUAAUUAGUAGUAGAAAUAUGAUUAGUAAUAAAUGGUGAGUAAGAAGAUUGGUUAGGUGGAAUAAAAUUGAACCACAUACCAAAUUUUGAUCAAAAUAUAUAUUUUUUUCUCUUCAUUCUUUUAUGUCAUUUAAGUAAUAGUAUAACCAUGAUUACUAAUAAACACUACAUUAAAAUAUGGUUUGAAUAAAUUUGAUAUUGUUAAUUAGUGUUGAGCUAGACUAAGCUUAUCGUUUAUUAGUGAACUUUUGUGGUUUGAAUUCUAAUAACAUCUUAAAAUGUCUAUUGAAUUCAACUUUGAUGACUUGAAUGGAUAGAUAUGUUAUUCCGACUAAUUUUAUAUUUGAGCUCGAAAAAUAACAGUGAUGUGCUUACCAUUACUUUUAACCUAAAUCUCCACCAUAGUUGGAUUGUUAAUUCCCAUCCAUUAACUUCUAAUCUAAGUAAUGGGACCCACUUAAUGUACGAUUAAAAAAAAAAGCACUUAUUAACACUUUACAUUGGAGGGCCUAAGUAAUAAGUGGUUGUAGUUAUGCCAAAAAUUUAGUUUUUGAUGUUUCGUUUUUUACUUUUGAAUUUUUAUGUCGAAGUAUUUAGUUCUUUAUAGUUUUACUGUCUAUUUAUUUAGUCUUUGUCACCGUCAAUUUUUAAACAAAAUAAUUAUUAAAUUAUAGUUGUUUUCAAAUUAAAAACUAUACAGUGAUUGUUGUUAGAAUUGAAAAUGUAAAUUCAUAAUGAACUUAUCAGACUAAUACAGAUAAUAAAAUUUGACUUUUGUGGUUAAAGAUUUUAGAAUUUCAAGGGAAUAAUUAGAUACUUUCUUAAUUAGGUAAUUUUUUUUUUUUUUUUUUUUUUGAGAAGUACUUUCUUAGGUAAUCAAAUAACUCUAAAUAUCGUUAUAGUGGGUAUACAAUUAAUAUAUUAAAACUCAAUAGACAAAUUGAAGUAUUUAAAAAACUAAGGUGUGUGAGUAUAUAUAUAUAUAUUACUUUUGUUUUAAGUGUUCGUAGUUUGACUUUGAUGCAAUCAAGGAUCAAUAUUUAAAACAUUUAAAUUAUAUUGAAGAAUUAAAUUUCACUUAUUCGAACUUAAUUAUAAUUUUAGGAAUCUUUGACAAAAUUAAGUUCUGGGAAAUUCAUAGCAACCAAUUUUCUUUUAUUGCUUUUAUUAUUGUCCAAAACAUUUAAAUUUUAAUAUAUGUUUUCAUAAUUGUUGAUUAUAUUAUGACUUUUGCUUUAAUCUCUUUACUAGCAUUAAGUUUAAUAUAUAGAUUUUCAACAAAUCUUAAUUUUAUUUUAUAAGUGGUUGGUUUUUUUACAACAUUGCAAAGGACCUUUGCAUUAUAAAAUUUUAAAGCAUAUAUUUUUAAAAAAGUAUUUACCUAAUUUAUGUUAUUUUAUAAAGAUUAUUAUAUUUAUUUGAUAAAAUUUUAAAAAUAAAUUUGAAGUACUAAAUUUAGGAUUUAUGAUUAACAAAUUUCAACGUAGAAGGGACAACGUAACCUUCCAUCAAAUUUAGAUAGCCCAGCCCAACUCACACCAUUGGGUCACUCUGGUGGUCCAGCCCAAUGUUAAUAUAGCCGAAAACGGUUAUGUAACUAUCCAAUUUCCGAAACGACGUCGUGUAGAGGACUCAUAAUUUUAGCUUAAACCCUAGUCCUGUCGCCGCCGGUGGUCACGCAGUCUCCGGCGACAGUUCCCGCUGUUAGUCUUCUACUACGGUGAAAAUCUCGAUUCUGAUUCUUUCUUUUCAGUGGAAAAAUCUCCGAACCCAUUACUCUACAUUGUUCUAUUCUGAUUUGAAUUUGUUUGCAUUGAGUUGGGUGUAAUUUUUGUUGUGUUAUUGAGUAUUGAGAAAAAUCGAACUUGUGAAUCUAUCAAUGUUGGACGAAAGCAAAUUCGACGUGCAUCUGAAUCUCUGGGCCUUAAGAAUUCCGAGGGAACUUUGUAAGGCCGCCAUUAAAAUACUGAACGGGUACGCUAUGUUUUGUGUUAUAUUGUUUCGAUUUCAAUUAAUCAUUUGGGUAAUGGCAUUUAGCAUUAGUGUUACUCAUAUAUUGUUGUCGUUGAACUGUUCAUCUUUCUUAUCCGAGUUCAUGUUUUUGAAAACUUAUCAGAAUUCUCCUGAUAUUUUUUAGUUUUUUUCUUUGAAAAGUAUUCUUGUUAUUAACUUUUGUUUAAAAGCAGACUUUUCUUUGGCCCUCAGUUCGUUUCUGUUGAAAAAUUUUCAGGUACUUAAUUGACAAGCCCCGGAUUAAACCUGUGACUGAAGAUCCAACAUGUGAUAAGAAUCGUUAUGUUAUAUUAUCUGAAAAGGUUCAAACUCCAGGUAAAGAUCUCCAUCUCCGUCCUCAUAUUUUUUCUGUUAACUAUAAGCUUGGAUUGCAAUUUCAUGUUCUUUAUGGAAACUCUUCUGUAGCACAUUCUGUUCGCUGAAGUUCCAAUUCUUGUUCAUUGAUUUUCUUCAUGUUACCUUAGUGGCUUUCUGGCUCUGUUCAUGCAUUCAAGUUCUUAAAUAGUUCUAAAAUUAUCGAGCGAGUAAUUUUUUAUCUUAAAACUUCAAUUUCUGUAGGGUAUAACCAUCAACUUGAAUGCAUCUUUAGUUAGAAAAGUGUCUAAAAACAGUCUAUAUAUCACAUGAAACCAAAUUAACGUCGUGUAACUAGGUAAUUUUCAUAAAAAUAAUCUCGUUUCCCUUUAAAAAUCACUCAUUUUUUCUCUUCCUUCUUUUUACCUUAUUUUCUCAAUGGAAUUUUCCUCGAUCAUGUCCUUAGAUGACACCAUUUUUCUAUCUUGUUGAUUCUUUGAAUGCUCAGAAUUAUCAGAAAUUCCAGAAAUGAAACUUGAAGAAUUGAAAGGCUUAUGCAUGUUUGAACGAGUUCCCUAUUCACUAACCCUUGGAUAUUCAUAUUGGGGAGCAGGUAUUUUCAAUAAUUCUUCCCUUUAUCACACAUUGUGCAAAUUUUACUUUCACCUUAGGAUUGCCUGUUGAACUCCAGAUAUUUAUAGAUGCCUUUAACUUUCGAGUUGCAAGUCUGAAGUGUUAUGUAAGGCAUAUCUAGCAUCAUUUUUAAUGAUCCCAUUCCCAUGACUCAAAAUCCAAACGUUUUUUACAUUGUGACUGCACAUGUGCUGAUAGAAUGUGGUUGUCUUUGCCUCUCAUUUGAUAUUAUAACUACAUGUGAUGUGACCGUUCUACAUCAAGCGGUUGCAAUUAUAAGAACAAUGUUCGAUUUCUGAAAGAUAGUUUAAACAAUUCUGUGAGCGAAUUUACCCGUCAUUUGAUGUGUUUGUAUUGUACAUACGUAACUAACUUACUGUGUGGUUGCUCUGUAGAUCAUAUUCUCAAGAAGAUUUUGCCUCCUGAAGUGGAAGUGCCUUCAUCUUUUGAGACAAUAGUUAAGUACUCUAACCCCUGCCAUGUUCCACCUACGCUUUCCUUUCUACAUUUUGUAUCCAUUUCCAUAUGCUCUUUAUAGCUUUUAUGUGCGUUCUUUUGUUGCUCUGUAUUACAUUUUGGUACCACUUGUUUAUGUGACAUUGGUUGUAACGUUGCUUUUUCAUGUACAACUAUUAACAUUGAGGUAAUUUUGUACUGUGAUUUGCAGGUCACGUUGCUCACCUGAAUAUACAUGACGAAUUACUUCCAUAUAAGGAUGUCAUUGCGAAGGUUAUUUAUGAUGUAUGUCAUCAGUAUCUAUUUACUUAUUUUCCUAAUUAUUUUGAAAUGUACAUUGUGAUUUAUUAAUCACUAUAAUUUAGCUGUUAGUUCAUUUUUUUAUUCUUAAUUUUGUUUUACUCUCCCCUUCUUUUCCUCCGUGCAUAUGUUGGGGGUACCUUUUUAAGAAAUUCAAAUGUUCAGAAUCGGAUAUUUAAUAUUUUUAUCCUCCCCCUUCAUCCAGCAAUAUGCACACACACACAUUUUCCAUAUUGAAACUUUUUCUGUAACUAUUUCUUUUUGUAAUCUUUGCAGAAAAAUUAUCCCAGGAUUAAAACAGUUGUAAAUAAAGUGGGUUCUAUAACAAAUGAGUUUCGGGUUCCAAAGUUUGAAAUACUGAAGGGAGAGAAUGAUAUGGUAACAGAAGUAAAGCAAUAUGGGGCGACUUUUAAGCUCGACUACAGUUUGGUCUACUGGAACUCAAGAUUGGAACAUGAACACAUAAGGCUGGUUUCACUCUUCCAACCAGGAGAGGUAAUUUGUGACAUGUUUGCUGGUAUUGGUCCUUUUGCAAUUCCAGCCGCCCAGAAAGAAUGUAUAGUAUAUGCCAAUGACUUGAAUCCAGACAGCAUCCGAUAUCUGAAGGUUAAUGCAGAAAUCAAUAAAGUUAGUGGUCGCGUUCAUGUAUAUAAUUUGGAUGCUAGAAAGUUUAUUUCUCAAUUGAUGAUAGUUCCCCCUAAUGAAAGUAAUUCAGAAUCUGUCACCUCAAUACUAAAAGCUUGUGAGAAGGGCAUUGGAGGGACCAAUCAAGAAUCACCAUUGGCAAAUGGUAUGCCGACUGGUAUUAUAUUAUUAUUAUCAUUUAAAGAAAAUUUCACAUCGUCUUCAGGAGAUUAGUGUAGAUGAUCUUAAUUUUCUUUCUUGCUUCAGUUCAGGUGCAAGAAGUUCAAGAUUAUAUUAAAAUUAGCAAUAAAUCUGUAGAACAAUCAAGGAGUGCUGAUAUAUCCGUUGCUGUUCUUAAAAGAUCCUCAGAAAGUUGUGAGAACGAGAAAGGUAACAUACUCUACCAUAGUUUGUGAUUGAACAACCAAGACCGUUUCUUCCUAUAAUUUUUUUUGCAGAUUUUUUUUAAUGAAAAUUUGCUUUGCAGACAAUGGAAUUGCUGAUGAUGCUUCCACUCGUGUAGCCGGUAGGAGAAAUGGAAACGGAAAUAAGAGGAUGAAGGGGUCCAGUGUAUCUCAUGCUAGGACCUGGGAACACGUUGAUCAUGUGAUUAUGAACCUCCCUGCUUCUGCUUUACAUUUUCUUGGUACGAAUGACCUUUUUUCUUUUUAAAUUUCAUUUCACUUAUUGCAGUUGUUUUAGCAUAUUUCUCUACAUUUGUGUGUCAGAAUGAAGAGUUAAAAGUUGGGGAAAUAACAAUGUUAGGAAAGGGAAACAAUUACUUUUUAAUGCUUCAAAUAUGAAGGGAAACCAUAAACGAUUUUUUCUCUCUUACUAUCACCAUGACAGAUAUUUUGGAUAUGUCAUAUUUCCUAAUUCCUACCUUUCAAAUGGAAUUCUUUGUUGUAAGUUUUGUAGUCACUCUCUAUACCAAUUUUAUGAGUUUCUUCAAUCUCCUUUAGCUCUUGGGUGAGGGAGAAUGCCUUAUCUCCUCCACUCAAUUAUCUCAACUCGUGUUUUUUAUCCAUAUCUAUAUUUUGCUUAGUUAACCAAUGAAGUAUAUUUUGUUAUUUUCUUGCCAGAUGCAUUUAGAGGCUCAAUUAAGAAGAAAUACUGGAAGGGCUCCCUUCCUUGGAUUCACUGUUACUGCUUCAUGCGAGCAAAUGAAAACCAAGAUUUUAUCAUUUCGGUAUGUGUAUACUAAAUUACUAUAGAUCCUUAUUUGUCUGUCUUCUUUUUGAUAAUUGUAUUUCUUUCUCACCAUUCUAUUUGGAUAUCUGUCUUGAAAAAAGUUGUCUUUCUUCUCAUACCAUCCUCUUUUAACUGUUGCACUCCAGGAGGCUGAGUCUGCCUUGAAUGCUAAUAUUCAAGACCCCAUUUUUCAUAGGGUCAGAGAUGUUGCACCAAACAAGGUAUUGCUUUGUGUGUGUGUGUAUAAAUGGAAACUACUUGUUUUUAACUCUUUUUUCUUUUUUGUUUUAUCAGGCUAUGUACUGUUUGAGCUUUAGGCUUCCGGAACAAUGCGUUGAUGAAGACACGACUAGCUAAAAUCGAGUAAAACUUUUCUAUCUCUCGGGGCUUCAUUUUCUUGUUCUCACAUCGUCAUAAUUCAUGUUUGUUUCUCAUUUCUGAGAUGUACAAGCUAGACGUAUGAUAUCGUAGGCUAGCGCUUGGGUAUUUCAGUUCUAAAGUUGAGAUUGGUGUUUGGAAAAUUUUCCAGAUUUGCUCAGUAUAAUUCAUAACUAAUCACUUGAAUUUGUAUAAAACAAAUGUCUCAUGUCCUAUGUUAUAACAAUAUCCAUUGAUAGGCGUAGUACGUACCUUGAUGAAAGUGCUUUUCUAUUCUUUAACAUCAAAAUAUGGUUAUUAAUUGAAGAUUGUAUUGUUAUCCUGUCCAAAUUAAGCAUGUUUUUAAGAUAUUUUACAUACAUGACAAUAAAAAAUAUUGUUAUCCUGUGUAGGGAUGAGAAUGAUAGACUAAAAGAUCGAGUGGACUAACAAAACUAAAGUCAGUUGAUGUCAGUUUGAAACUUUCCAAAUCGAGAAAUGUUAAAGAGUUAAACCAACCCACCGACACAUUUAUUCAUCGACGGUCUAAGGAUGGUUUGAACAUUUACUAAAUCGAUCAUAGUCAUUUCGAUGGCGGUUUGGUCAAAGAAUUGACUUCAACUGGCCGAUGAUUGCCUUUAAUUUUAUCAUUUUUAAUAUUCUUACCUUUAUAGUAAUUGUCCUAACAUUACCUAAUCGAUUGAUAAUGAAAAGUAACAAAAUGAUGAUAUGAUUGUGAUAGGACUACGUUCAAGACUUGUCAAGAUUCUAACUUAAUUGUAUGUCCAUUAUUAUUGUCACAAGAGUCGUCUCCCUUAUCAAGCAGUGGAUCUAGCCAUGACUAAACAUUAUGUUUAGUCCUUUUUUUUUUUCUUAAAUCAUAAUCACCAUCAAUGUUUGUUUGAUGGAAUAAUGAGAAAAAUGAAUAUUUGGAAAUCAGAGAAAAUGAUUUAUCAUGAUUUGGGACAAAUAAUUUUCUAUCUAAUGUUUUUGUACAAAAAUAGCUUUUAAAUUAAUCCAAGAUAUUAAAAGUACUUUUUAUUUGUUAGGAUAAGAUUACAAAAUACUUUUAUUUUUAGAAAAUAUUAUAAAAAUUGUUAAAAUCAUUCCAAAGGCUAUAAUAGACAUGCUUUAAAUUAUGUUUUUUUUCUUUUUUAAAAGUAACCAUUGUUUAAGUACUAAUUUUGUAUUUGCAAAAAAAUAAUUAUUCUAAAUUUAAUUUAUUUUGAUUCUCAUACUUUCUAUCUAUACAAAAUUUCAAAAAAUUUAAAAAAGAGUCAUUUAGUUCUUUUUUUCUUUUUAUAUUUUAGAUUUUAAUUUUAAAAAUUAUCAUUUUUUAAAGUAAAAUGUCAAAUUGAAUAAAAGUUGAAAGUAUAUUAAACAAAAUGAAUAAUUUAAAAGCACAAUGAUAAAUUAUAUAAAAAUAAAUAAAAGUACAACGUAAUAUUUAAAUUCAAGAUUAAUUUGAUUUAAAAACUAUUUUUUCACCAGGUAUUCCAAACAAAAAUAAUCAAAACAAAAUUGACAUAUUUUCUUAUUUGGUGAGUCAACUUGGGUCAACCACCUUUUUGACAACUUUUCCAUUGAGAGGAGAAGGCUUCUUUCUUGCAAGGCAACAUUUUCCCAACAACUUACCACGAAUAACAUUUAACCCAAAAGUAAUAGAAUAUAUAGUACAAUAACAAAAUAAUUAUAUAUAACAUAAAAUUAAUUUAAAAAAUAACAAAAUAAAUUAAAAUAUUUAAAUUUUGGUUGUAAAUAUUUUGUCAAAUUUGCUAUUUUUGACAAUUCUAUAAAAAAAAUCCUAGAUGUAGUUAACAAUGAUAGUAGCUAAGAACGAUAGGUUUCUUUUUUCAAAUUAAAAGUCAGUAAUAAUUUUCAAUUUAAAAAAUGUGUUAUCAGUUACUAUCAUUGAUACUACCUGUUUGUGAUAACUUCUAUCGAUAAUAAUCACUAAAGAGCAUACAUAACAUUUACUAUUUUUACAAAUAUUUUAUUUUGUACUAUAUUUUAAAUUUAUUUCUCACUAAGUUUUUCUUUUUCAUAGACUAAUAAGGCAAUACAUAAUCAAAAAAAUUAUUUAUGAUUCUUUUAAAAAGAUACCAAUCUCUUUUUUCCUUUUUAAUAAAUCCAUUCAUGUUUUUCUUUAUAUAUAUAUCAGAUUUGCACUAUUGUUUUUCUUCUUCCUCUUUUUGUAAAAAUAAUAAAGGGACGAACUUUGGGAAAGAGACCAAUUUCUAAAGCAAAGAUAGAUUAGAUGAAAACAUUACACGUAGAUUUUGGCUGGAAAGCUAUCAAUUUGGAUCAUUCUUUUUCAUUAACAUUAUUUCAUUAAAUUUCUAUUUUUUUUUUAUCUUUUCUUUAAAAAAAAUUACUUCUUUUCAAGAUUUUAUCAUCACAGUUUGCAUUAUCACCAUACAAUUUUUUUAAAAAAAUAUUAUAAUUUCAACCCAACUUGUAAAAUUAAUUUCCAAAAAUCACUUUAAAGUUCAUCCUUCAAUAUUUCAUUAUCAAAUUGGAGACCAUGUUACUAGAUAAUCAUCAAACAUGUGCUUUUUUCUUUUCAAGUUGAUAUACUUUUUUUCCCUUUAGUGAUUUCAAAUAUUUCUAACGUAAGUGCAUACUGCUAUUUAUUUAUUUUGACUAUAAUAAUAUAAUAUCAAGAUUUGUCUAGUUUGUUUUUUGAUAUAAUAUUAUACAAAACAACUAAUAUUUGUUAAAUACCAAUAACUAUGUUAGUGAUUUAUAUUUAAUAUAAUCCGAUUUUUCUAAGCCAACUCUCUUAAAGUUUGGAAAUAAAAAAUUUUUAGAUCAUAAUAAGCAAGCAAAAAAAAAAAAGUGUGAUUAUGUAAUGAAGAGUGAAUAUAUAUAUCUCUCAAAAGGAAAAAAAAAUCACACCUUUAUUUCCACGUUGUAAAGUGCUUUUUUUGGAGACCCUUUCUGUCAAAUGUGAUAUUUUUUAUAAUUAAAAGAAAUUGAAAAGUAUAUUAAAUCAAAGCUAUGUUAACCAAUGAAGAUACUCUAAAUAAUUUGAUAUUUAGAAUCAAGCAAACAAUUUAAAACUAAAAUGAAAAAGAAUUUUUAAUAAUUUAUUUUUGUUAUGUGAAAUUUGGUUGGAAUACAAAUGGGAUGAAAAUCGUCAUAAAAAAGCGUAAGAAAAAGAAAAACAUAAUUUAAUCAAACAAUUGAGGUUUUCUUGCUUUGGUAUAAUUUUUUAUCAAUAUUUUUAAAAACUAAAAAAUUAAGAUAAGAAUUGUUGAGAUAAAGUGAAAAUUAAUUUGAACAAAAUUUUUUGGUUCAAUAUUUGUAAAUGAAUAAAACUAUAUAUAUAAUACGUGUUAUUGGAGCUGUGCACACCACCAUAACUGAAUAACUGAAUUAAGUAACGAAUCUUUUAUUUUGCUUUGUGAAGCUUUCUCCCCUUUAGCUCUUCAAAAUCCUAAUAUUUCCAUUUCCAUAUCCAUACAACUCCUUUCUUGAUUCUAUCUUUGUUAAAAGAUUCAGAUUCAAAGAUUGAGAGAAACCCAUAAAAAUGUCAAGAAAUUGUAUAUUCAGAAUAUUAUUAGUUUUGUUGUGGUUGUUGAUGAUGAUUGUUCCAAAUGGUUUAAGUGUUGGAGUGAACUGGGGAACUAUGGCUACUCAUCAGCUCCCACCAGAGAAAGUUGUUAAAAUGCUUCAAGAAAAUGGGUUUCAUAAAUUGAAGCUUUUUGAAGCUGAUGAUAGGAUUUUGGAAGCACUUAUUGGAAGUGAUAUCGAGGUUAUGUUGGCUAUUCCUAAUUCAAUGUUGUUUCUUAUGAGUCAAGAUCCUCACGCUGCUGCUUCUUGGGUUGAUUCUAAUGUUACUGCUUAUACUUAUCAUGGUGGUGUCAAAAUCAAGUUGAGUUUUGAAGAUUCUUUUGAUUAAUAAUUUUGAUCUUCUUUGAUUUGUUUUUUUCUCGUUUUUUUGGUGCUCUUUAGGUGUUUGAUGAAUUUCCCACUUCAGGGUUUCUCUGUUUUUAAUAUGUUGUUCAUUCAGCUGCUGCUAUCCUGCUGAUGAUGCUGCUUUCAUUUUCUUUGUUUACUUAUUCGAAAAGCCGUUAUCACAACGUAGCUAAGAGGAUAUUUGUGAGAAAGGGUCAUAAUCACUCUCAUAUAUGUCUUAAAUGAUUUAGAAUCAAUUUAUACCAUCCAAAUUGAUUUUGAAUGAUUUAAUGCAUGCUUCGUUAUGAUUUUGAACAUGAUAAAAAGUUAAAAUUACUUAUAAAAAAUAUUCUAAACACUGUUUUUAGUUCGCUAAAAGGAAAAUUUCAGUUUUCUAAAAAGCAUGUCGGUUAAUCUUAGUGUUACUAAUUUCAAGUUAGAUCAUUUGGUCAUGUUCUUUUAUGGAUUGUAGUUACUAGUUUAAAUGAUUAAAUAUAAGCUAAACAUGAUAUUGAAAGGAUUAAAAUUAGCUAAAUAACUUUUGAGUACUCUUCAAAAAGUCAUGUUGGGUAAUCACACAGUACAGUGUCACUAUGUCACUAAACAUGAUAUUAUCAGCUGGGUUGAACUAAUUAGUUUCAUUGAUCACUUCACAAGGAAGUACUAUUUGAGUUAUAAAACUAUUGAAAAGUAAUCAAAUGCCCCUCUUAAAUAAGGGUCAUUUCUUGGAGAACCAUUCUUUUGGCUGAAAAAGUAGAGAUUUAUGAAGUUAAAAUUAGCUAAAAAAUCAUAUCGGUUCUUUGUCUUUCCCAUAAAAUUCCAUUGGAAACUGAUCUUGCAGGUAUGUUGCUGUAGGCAAUGAGCCCUUUCUCAAGUCUUACAAUGGCACUUAUCUUCCGUUAACAUUGCCUGCUCUAAGGAAUAUCCAACAAUCCCUAAAUGAUGCAGGGCUUGGUUCAAAGGUCAAAGCUACUAUUCCUUUCAAUGCUGAUAUUUACAACUCCCCCGACUCAAACCCGGUUCCAUCUGCAGGCGAGUUCCGUCCUGACGUUCGAGACUUAACGAUCGAGAUUCUACACUACCUAUCGAUAAACAACGCACCAUUCACAGUCAAUAUCUACCCCUUCCUUUCCCUAUAUGGAAAUGACUACUUUCCAAUAGACUUCGCAUUUUUUGAUGGAACAGCAUAUAGGCCAAUCAAAGACAGAGAUCUAACGUACACGAAUGUGUUUGAUGCAAAUUUCGACACACUCGUAUCAGCUCUAGCAAAAGCAGGAUACCCUGAUAUGAAGAUCAUCGUAGGAGAAGUUGGUUGGCCAACAGACGGCGACAAACACGCCAAUGUACAAAACGCAAAACGAUUCAACCAAGGAUUGUUAAGACAUGCUUUAAGUGGACAGGGAACUCCAGCAAGGGUAGGCAUAAUUGAUGUCUAUCUUUUCAGUCUAAUUGAUGAAAAUGCUAAAAGUAUAGAACCAGGGAGCUUUGAAAGGCAUUGGGGAAUAUUCGAAUUUGACGGUAAACCGAAAUAUGAACUAGACUUGGCUGGAACAGAAGAAGAAAAAGGGUUAAUACCAGUUGAAGGAGUGAGAUAUAUGGGGAAAAGAUGGUGUGUUUUGAAUCCAAAUGUGAAUGAUUGGGAAGGUUUGGCUGAUAGUGUAGACUAUGCUUGUAGUUUAUCAGAUUGUACUGCAUUGGAAUAUGGAUCUUCUUGCAAUCAAUUAUCUGCACAAGGAAAUGCUUCUUAUGCAUUUAAUAUGUACUAUCAAGUGAACAGCCAAAAGAGUUGGAACUGUGAUUUUGAUGGUUUGGCUGUGGUGACUCAACAAGAUCCUUCUUAUGGAAACUGCCAGUUCCCAAUUAUGAUUGAUUAUACCUCUUCUUCUUCUUCUUCUUCUUCAUUUCUGGUUUAUGAAAGAUUUUCUGAUCUUCUUGUUGCAGUUUUUAUGGGAAUUGUAGUGUUUUUUAUUGUGCAAUAUGAACAGUGAUGGAUUUUGGUAAUGAUUUUUGUGAGGAAUUAGUUAAGAUCAUUUGGAAGUUGUUCAUAGUUUUCUUAUUUGCCAUAUAGCCUCUCAUGUAUAAUAGAUUCAAAUUUUGGUUUCUUUUUUAUUUCACCCUUUAUUUUGCUUCUUUUAAUAAAUAAAUAUAUUUUGGACAAUGCUCGUAAUUUCUUUUUCUGCCUUAUAUCUUUACAUAAUUAUUUGAAGCGCGCGCUAAGUUGAGUUAAUAUGAUGAAAUUAAAAAAAAAACGACAUUUCAUGAUAGAUGUGCAAAUUUUAAUAGAAAACACCCUCAAAAUUUAGUAAUGUAACACCAGCUUAUGGAGAGAGUGGGUUUAUAAAAUUUAAAUUCACGUGAUUUUAACUUAUAACAAAAAUUCACGGGAUAUUGAGAUAUUUUAAGUCAAAAGUCAUGGAUUUUUCAUUUUAUGAAGAUACGUUUCAUGUUUAUUAUUUAUAUUAGAUUUAUAUAUGUGACAUUUUCUUGUUUAUUUUUUUAAUUUUUCUAAACUUUUUUCAUGUUAUAACGAUAAUAUUAAUUCAUCCCUCGUACCAUAUCAAACUCAUAAAAGCAUGAAAGUUCUGGCACAUAUAUGAAAAUUUAAUACAACAAACAAAACAAAUAGAAUUGUUAGACUAAAAUUAAACUUAAAGUUAGUUCAACUUUACAAGUCAAAAUAUAAGAGUAAUUAAUAAAUGAAAGAUUGUAGUCAAUUGCAAAACCACCAUUUAAAGAAAUUAUGCCCACAUACUUACCCAUAGGCAUUUCAAUAAGUAAACUCCCAAAAUAAGAAAGAAAAAUAAAUUCCUAUUUUCAUCGACUUUUUUUCAAUAUAUAUAUGAUUUAUAUAAUUUAAUUAAUUUAAACCGUCAUAGCUGUUGUAUUGGUUUGCCUUCAAUGCACACAAAUAAAAGGUUCAUUAUGGAACAUGUCACCUCCAAAUUCACAUUUAUAAUAUAUGGUCUCAAACUUAGAUAUAUGGCCAAUAAUAUUUAUGGUGCCGAACUCUUAGAUUUACAAAAUAUGAUACAUUUAAUACUACUCAUCUCCAUCCGUUCCAAACAUAUAACAUUAGUCAUUAACAAUUGAUAGAUAUAUGACUUUCUUAUAGAAUUUUUGAAUAUUUAAAUCUUGUCCGUUGUAUCUGGAACGUUAAAACUAAUUUCUUAGAUAAAAUUUUUUAGUGAAUUUUAUCUAAUCAUUAUUAUUGGUUAAUUUGUAAAGAAUAACAUAUUAAUUAUAUAUGAUUAAGAAACUGAAAGUUGAGCCCAUUGGUUAUUUAUCUUUAAUUUAUUGGUUAAAGAAUAUUAUUAUCACUUGUUUUCAAAUAUAGCUAAACGAGAUUAAUUAUUUACUUAAUUUGUUUUCGGUAGUUUUAUUAUUUAAAAUAAUUUUGAUAUUAAUUUUGCUAUUAUAUGGUUUAUGGUUGAAAAGUUGAACAAGAUAUAAGAGGCUCAUAUUCACAUGUCUCAAAAGAGGAGUUAUUAAUGAAUCUGUCAUCUAAUCUUUUUCUUGGUUUUCUUUAUAUAUACUUGAUUUAAGAAAAUUAAAAAGAGUAUAUAACCAAAGUUGGUUGGUCUUUUUUUUUUUCAUUUUUUGGAAUAGAAAAGUUGAUGAAAGUUUAAAUCACCGUUACUAUGGUUAAAUUUCUACGGUGGAUUAAAAAUAAUAAUCUUUUAUCAACCAACUACGUGUAUAUGACUAUCGUUUAGAGGUCAUGAAUUUGAAUCACAUAAUCUUACAAGCUAAAAGAAUAGUUGUCUUCCUGUUAAUCGUAGAACAAUACGUGUUUUGAUAUGCACUUUCAUAGUAAAAAAAAAAAAAAUCAUUGUGACUAAAAGAUGAGGUAUUAAUUAAUGUUUAAUAUCUGACGAAGAAACCCACCUAACCUUCAAAUACGAUCAACGUGAGUGAAUUUGUAAUUUAAGAGGUCACUAAGAAAAAUAGUUUUAAUUAUAUAUACAAUAAAGCUAAACUUACGGUUCCCUUUAUCCCUAUAGAAAUAGGACUUGAGAAGCCUUGAUCGAACAUGAACAAGGGGAACAAACUAGGGCAAACUGGCGAUUUGCCUUAAGGGGCAAAUUGGUCGGCCUUGGUCGAGGUUGAAGAUGGACUUUUUAAGCUUAGAUCGGUCUAAUUAGUACUUCAUUCACUCUCCAACAACGUCGUUGCAUGAACUCGUUUCUUGUCCGUCUUUCGUUCAUCUUAGAUAAGACAACUUUCUUGACUUUACUCUUAAAUUUUAUCUUCUAAUCUCUUGAUCUUUCUCAUAAAUUCGAAAUUAUCAUCAAAUAAUAUUCGCCACGGUAAUUAACAUAUUUGUAUUUUUUUUUCCAAAAUGAUAUUGAUAACAAUAACACAUUUACAACACACCAAAUUAUUUAGCUUAAUUAGUCAUGACUCCUCUUUUUUUUUUAAUUUUAAUGAGUAUAAAGAAAAAAAUUCCAUACCUAGCUAAACCCUAAAAUAAUUAAUUAUGAUAGUCUUCUUAAAUGUAAUGUAAUCUAUAUGAUCUAAAUUAGUCAACAUAUAUGUUGUUUCUUUUAUUAGGAUUCCAUUUUUGUUAUCUUCGUCUUUUGUUUUCUCUAUGGUUAUAGAACUACUUUAGAGUUUGGCUUUUUUCUUCUUUUGAAAACAAUAUUAUUAGUUUUAAUUUCUAACAUCUAUACCUACUUGUAAAAAAAAAAUUACAUCAGACGUUAAAAACAUUGAAAAAAAAAAAUAGUCAAUAGCACAUUUUUUUAUAUAUAUUGCAAAGCAAAUAUGACAAGUAAUGAAGUGAUACUCAUUAUCAAAUAGCUAUUAGAAGGUUGUCGACUUUUCAAUUUACUACUUUUGCAAUUUAUACGGCGUAGUGAUAAUUAUUAUAAAUUAUUUUACUAUUUUUGUAAGCACUAAACCUAGACAUUGCAAAAUUGAAAAAAAAAAAACCUUUCUCAUAUUUUAUAAAUAUUUUUAGUACAAUAAGUUUUGUAAUUUAUAAUUUUAUUUUUGAAAUUUUGCUUACAUUUUAAAUUUGCUUCUUUUUAGGGUGGUGAAAUAUACAUACUUAUAUAAAAUGUGUGCAAAAGAAGAAAUAGUUAUUAAAUGUAAUGCGAAUAUAUUUUGUUUAUAAUCGAUAAAAGUUAAUAAACAUUUAAUUCAAAUUAACAUCUAGUAAGCAAAUCCACGUCAAUAUUUUCAAAAUUUUAUUGUUGGAAUUUUCAUAAAUGACAAAAAGUUUCUGAAAAAAUAAACCACAGUAAACUAACCAUAAAUACUAAAUUUAAGAUUUAUGGAUGCAAAUAUAUAGACCAAAAUUAAACUAAAGUUCUAAAAGUAAAUUAAAACGUGAUAUAAUAAUUUUAACUUAAUAAAAGCUAUUGGUUACAACUACUUACAAGUUACAACCAUCUAUGUUCACAUACAUCAUUAAUUGGUAAAUGGAAGGAAAUAAUAUAAAAUAUAUAUGAUCCAAUUUGAUUCGUAUGGUUCUUUUUUACAAAAAUACGAAAAAAGAGAAAAGAAAAUUUAUAAAAAAUAAAGCAUUUGACAAAAAUAUUAUGAAUUUUAUCUUUUAGUGAUUUUGUGACGUGAAAGGUAAAUAGUUUGUGAAUUUUUUUGUUUUUUUUUUAAUUUCAAUAAAAAAUAUGAAUAAUUAGAUAUUUGAUAUUUUGAAUAAAAUAUUAUUACUAGACAACCUAUUUAAAUAUUGGAUCUCUCGAUUGCUAAUAUAUGUUAUAUGUCGGUUGAGUCAUGAUCGAUUUACACAAAUAUAAAAACUUUAAAAGGUAUAAAGAUCAACAACUAUAUAUUUAUAUAUAAUUUAGAUACACAUUCUUACACUGCAUUAAUAUUUUACUAUAGUUAGGUUAUUGUUACUUUUAAGAGAAUAUGUCAAGCUAAUGGUAUAUUUAAUUUGGUUUAAUGGAAAUUUAGUCAAAGAGACCUUGAAAUUUUAUCUAACAUCACAAAUAUAAUUUGAUUUUCGUUAUAUAUAUGUAUAUAUAUAUAUACACACACUUGUAUACUAUAAACUAAACAAAUUAAUAGAUUGUUUACAAUUAACAAAUUUAUUGAUUUGAAAAAAACAUAUUGUUUACAGAAUUUAGGUUGGUGGAUACAACUCUUUGCCAUAUUAAACAAAUAAUUUCUAUAAUACAAAAUUAUUCAGACUCGACACAACUCUUUGUAAUAUUAAACAAUAAUUAAUUCCACAUUUAAUAUUGAGAUUUAUAAUUGACGUCAAUUCUAUAAAUUAAAAAUAUAUUUUACUUUUAGUAUGAAAAAGUUUGAACAAAAUAAUAUUUAAUUAGUUUUGUUUUGUUGGGACUAGUCUUAAUAAGUGUUAUAGGGGUCCAUUUCCAAUAUAUUCAAGAGUGAUGGUGCAUAAAUAAUUAUGAGUUAUGGAUAAAAAUUUGAAUGCAUGUAUUAUCGUUUAUUUUAUGGAUAUCCUUCAAUAAACAUUUUUUUUAAUUUAUUUAUUUACGAUCGAUUAUAUUAUUAUUUCAAAUAAUAAUUGAUUAAUGGGUCGAUAUUGUUGAUUGUUACUAAUUUUAUUAUCAAGAAUAAUUAAUUUUGCUUCAUAAAAUUUAAAAUUUAAGCUUGUUCAAAUAAUAAAUUCAUCAAUUUUGUCUAUUUAGUUAAAAAAAAACAGUUUGUUGAUAAAAGUGUUUAAAAUAUGAAAAGUGAUUAAAUUCAUGUUUGAAUUUUGGACGAUUAUAAUCCACAUUUAAUUCUUAUUAUGAAAACUAUUAAUGGGAGGUUGAAAUUAUGUUUCUAUUACAUUGCCAGGUGUAAUGUAGAAAAUGAAUUGGAUGAUAAUAAAUAAUAUGAUUGCUUUAACUAAUCUAGAAAAUAAUGUGAUGGACAAAAUUGAAAGAAAAGUUAUAUCGAACUGAUGUAAAGGUCAAACUAUCCACUUCCAUUUCAUACAUCUAGAAAACUAUGUAAAAUAAAGUAAUAAUGUAGAGAACACAAAGAUAAGAAUUAAAUAUAUAUAUAUAUCAAUGAAAAUAUUAUAUAAAGUUUUAAAUUUUAUUAGACAACGUCCUUGUUUUAAUCUUGUAACACUUUAAAAGUAACGAAACAUUAAACCUAUUUACAAACUAUAUCAAAAUUCAUCAAUUUCAAAUAAUUUUUUUUUUCUAUUUAUAACAAAUUCUUAAAAGAUUUAAGACUUUUAUCCAUAUUUUUUAUUCAUCAGAUUUCAAUUUCAUUAUAAAAAUAUUUGAAUUUAUAGUUAAACUAUGAUUUUAUGUGUGAAAAUAAACAUAAGCUCGAUUCAUGGCGACUACCUAUCUAAUAAUUAAUUUCCUAUAAAUUUUAUUGACACCAAAUGUUAGAGGAUUAGGCGAAAACAUUUAACAAAUAUAGUAUUUUAUGUCAUAAACAAACUAAAAAAUGAAAUAUACAAUAGACUAUAAUUUGUUUUCUCAAAUAAAAAUAUACUAUAAAUAAUGUGAUCAUAUUAUAAUUUUAAAAAAUAAAUUAUGUAAUAUUUUUUUUGAAGGCGUAUAUGUAUUAAACACCAUAAAGAAACCACGCAGUCGGAGAUCAAGGCACAAAGCAAAGUUCCCUAUGAUAAGAAACGAUGAUGUCCUAAACACAAUCAAAUCAUACAGGAAAAAUCGAUGCAACCAAAGCAAAUACAAAAGAGAAUACAACUAAAGCUACUUGCAAUAUUUUUAAACCACAAUAAAAAAUCGCAGAAUUAUAGAAGCAUAACAAGUCACUCCGGUCGAUUGUGCUAUUACGAUAAAAUAAAUAGCAAGAGACCACAACACACACUCCUAACAAACUACUCUAUGAGAACCUGACGGUUGAAAGCACACUAAAAGAACAUCGAACAAACGGGUUGUUCCGAUGCAACUGUUCCGUAAGCUCAAAUUAAUUAAGGAUUAGUUUAUAUUUGUAAUUACAUUAGUUAGAGAACAUAUAUUUAAAAAAUAGAAUACAAUUAAAUCCUUGUAUUUUAAAAUUGUUUUCUUUUUUUUCUUUUGCUAAAGAAACCGAACUUGCCAACGAUAAAUGCGAGCAAUAAUAAUAAAGGAAGGUGGUGGAUACGGGAGAGAAGGUUGAAAGAAAAGGACGAGGGAGGGGCAAAAGAGUAAAUAACAGAAGAACUGUGGUUGAAUUUGGAAAUUUGAAAGAAAGGGCGGGACCGGGACAGGUGGUUGCUAUAUAUCUCGUUGAGGGGCCUGGGAUCUCUCAUUCGCAUACACACACCUCUUUCUAUCUCUUUCUCUCUCGUGUAUCGUUUCCUCCUUUUUAUUUUUUUGGCUUUUCAAACGAAAAUCGGGGCUCCUUAAAAGAGGGAAAAACAAGAUCGCAAACCCUAAAAAUCGACUAACAACAAGGGUUUGUUGAUCCCCUAAUGAAGCACUAGCCAUUUUUCCUGCAUUUUUCUUCAUCUGUUGCUGCUCUAGAUUUGGAUUCUCCUACUACAAUUAUCAAUCCUGUUGUUUUCAGUUUCACCAUUUUCAAAAGCCUUCUUCAAGGUUUGCAUUCAAUGUUCUUUCCUGGUAUUCUCGUUUUAGAUUGCUGUUUUUAUGUUGUUGAGAAUGUGAGAGAUGUGUAGUGUUCAUUUUUGUUUGGAGAAUUGGAACUCGAUAUAUUCUGGAAAUUUGAUUUUGUCGUGAGAUUUUUGGGUUUUUAGUUGAACUCGUUCCAUUUCGUUUCGUUGUUCUGGAAACUCUUUGUUUGUUCUCGAUGUUUCACUUUGCGAUUCUCGUAUGGUUUUGAUUUAUAGGUAUUUUAAAUUUCAUGUGUUUGUUCUUUCUAGUAGUUUUGUGUACUAUUCUUUGACUUCGGAAUGGUUUUUUAUCUUCUUCUUUGGUCAAGUAGUGGGGUGGGACAGAGUAGAUGUAUAAAUUGAAGGCACGGUUCUUUUAGGUAGUCUGGUUGCUGUUGGUUAUUAUUAUUAUUAUUUUUUUUGGAGUCUUCAGUCAUAAGGAACUUUAAUUAUUCGGUCUAGGACUUUGCUACAGUUCAAUCGUGUUGUUUUCAAUUCAUUUCUGAUUAGAUGCUGAUCUCAUUUGAUUUGUUUUCUUAUAUUCCAAUACAGAUGAAUAAUCUGCAAUUUGGUUCUUGUUGUUUUUUAUAUUUCAUUUAUUAGCAGCAAAGCUUGUGUUCAAGUUAUUUAUUGAUAUACAGUAUACUGAAGUGUUUGAUUUUGUUGUUUGAAGUUCAUCAUGGUAGCAACUGCUGCUACAUCUGCGUUUUAUCCUGUUCCUUCUUCAUCUUCUGAGUUUGGAGCAAAGAACAACAAAAUUGGAGGUGGAUCUGGGAAUUUGGGAGGGAUCAAGUCUAAAUCUGUGCCUUCUGGAAGUCUUCAGGUGAAGACUAAUGCCCAAGCCCCUUCCAAAGUAAAUGGAAGCUCAACUGGUUUAUCAACAUCUGUAGGUGGUAAGGGUGGGGAUGACUUCUCAUCAUCCCACCCACGAACUUUUAUUAAUCAGCUGCCUGACUGGAGCAUGCUUCUUGCUGCUAUUACCACUAUCUUUUUAGCAGCUGAGAAGCAAUGGAUGAUGCUUGACUGGAAACCUAGGCGGCCCGACAUGCUCAUAGAUCCAUUUGGUUUGGGAAGGAUUGUUCAGGACGGCCUUGUGUUUACCCAGAACUUCUCUAUUAGAUCCUAUGAAAUAGGUGCUGAUCGUACUGCGUCUAUAGAAACUUUAAUGAAUCAUUUACAGGUACAAUUGGAUUGAUGUAUUCUUAUGUUUUUGUGAGUAUCUAUUAUUUGUAAUUCUAUGUAUGCUUAUGAAAUGGAGAUAAGUAACUCCGGUCUAUGAUUUUUUUUUCUUCAGGAAACUGCCCUCAAUCACGUUAAGACUGCUGGUCUACUUGGUGAUGGAUUUGGUUCUACGCCAGAAAUGUGCAAAAAGAACCUGAUAUGGGUAGUUACCAAGAUGCAGAUUAUGGUAGACCGUUACCCUACUUGGUAAAUUUAAGUUCUUCCAUGAAGUAUUCGCUUCUAAAGAUGGAUUCAUUAUAACACUUGUGAUUUACUUGGGUGGGUGAGAACAGAAUUGAAUUUAAUUCAAUAGUUUUCCUUGUUUGUUUUAUCCCCUUAAGUUACAUAUCCAGUAUUGCCCUGUUCCUUGGGAUUAUUUAACAUAUUCACCUCACUUUCACCUUCCAAAAAUAAUUGAUUAUGGAAACGUUGGACUUUCUAGACCAAUAAGUCUAUGAAGUGGGCUUUGAUUUACACUUUUUUUUUAUAAGGUGGAAGUUUUUGAAGCCUCCCUCUGUCUUUUCUGCUUUAGCUGAUCUCUUCUUCCGUCUUUUAUUAACUAUAUGCAUGAGAUAUUGGAGAUUGUUGUGCUUACAGGGGUGAUACGGUUCAAGUAGACACUUGGGUCAGUGCUUCUGGAAAGAAUGGCAUGCGCCGUGAUUGGCUCGUGUAUGAUUGCAAAACUAGGGAAACUUUGACAAGAGCUUCCAGGUUUGUUACUUUCCCCCUUUUUGAUGAAACAUGGAAUCGUUUUUCUUCAUAGCUGUUGCAUUUUCUUUUUUCUCAACCCAUGAAUUAUAAAGUUAACCAGCUUUGAUUGAAUCGAUAAUCGAGUAAUUCUGGUCAUAGGUGAUGUAGGUUCUUGUAUAAGUUAUGAAUUUCUAAUGUGUGUUCCGUAGAGAACAGAAACAAAAUUUGCAUAAACUACAUUCACUUUUUUUUCAAUCUUAAUUCUAAUUGAUCUUUGCAUUGAGAUCGUGGAUUAUGAUUGCAUUCUUUUUUUCUACUAUCAAGCCAUGGCAUAUGUAGUGAUCAAAUCAUAGUUUACUGAUAGAGAUAUAUUUUUUGUGAUGUGAAGUAUCUGGGUUAUGAUGAAUAAAGAGACAAGAAAGCUGUCAAAGAUUCCUGAGGAAGUGAGGAGAGAAAUAGAGCCAUUCUUUAUGAAUACUGCGCCGGUUAUUGAAGAUGAUGGAAGGAGGCUUCCAAAAAUUGAUGAUGAUAAAGCUGAUUAUGUUCGAGCGGGUUUGACUGUAAGUUGUUUCAUUUAGCUAAAAUGUUACUUGAGAAAAGGAAGUUGGCACUGGGUGUUUUUGUGUUUCAUUUGGAAUUUGGUUCAAUAAUAUAACUUUCACUAUGCUUUUGUACAUAGAAAUUGAUCUCAUGGCACCUACAUUUCUGUACUGCAGCCUAAAUGGAGUGAUUUAGAUGUCAACCAGCAUGUGAACAAUGUGAAGUACAUUGGCUGGAUUCUUGAGGUAGAUAAAUCUUAACUUUUCUUAUCAUUGACUUCGAUACUUUCCGAAAAUAGUGUGCCCCAAAAUUUUCUUAUCUCGCACUCAUACAUUUCUCCAACAUUUUACACCGUAACUGUUCUUCUAAAGCUUGGUUUCCUCUUUUUGAUCGGCAAAUUAUGCUUGUGGUCAAUAGAGUGCCCCACCACCGAUAUUAGAGAGUCAUGAACUUUCUUCCAUCAAUUUGGAGUAUCGGAGGGAAUGUGGGAGGGACAGUGUCCUGCAGUCACUCACUGCAGUUACUGGCACGGAUGUUGGAACUUUAGCAACUUCUGGCGAUGUUGACUGCAAUCACCUACUUCGGUUCGAGAAUGGGGCUGAGAUUGUGAGAGGAAGAACAGAGUGGAGACCCAAAUUGGGCAACAAUUUUAGGAUCCUGGAUCAUAUUUCAGCUGAUCAAGGAAUUUAAGCUGCCAUCUCAGAGGAGUGUUCCUGCUGUAUCCAUGGUUUGCACCAAAUUCUGCUUUAAAUCCUCAGAUAUAUAUGUCUAUAAAUAUGGUUUUUCUCAUUCGUUCUCUUCUAUAAACAGGAAAAGAAAAAGGAAAAAAAAAAGGUUUAAUUUCAUUGUAAUUAUCUCUUAUCUAUUAUUUUUCCCUCUUGUCCCCAGAAGGCUACUAUAUAAUGUGUUUAUCUUGCUCAGCCUGGUCGGUUGCUAUGCAAUCAAUGUGUACCCACCGCUGGCUGAUUGUCUCACAGCAGGUUCGAAAAUAUUUUUGUGUAUAUUUUCUUGCAUUUUCUUUAAUUUUUGUUUGGAACUGGAAAAAAAAAAAGAGAGAUUUUUUCCCCAUUUUUUUGCCCUCGAAUUGUCGCUCUUCUGCACUCACUUUGCUUUGAGCAGAUUGGAAAAUAUUCAUAACUUGUGUUUGAAAUUGGUUGGAAAAAGAAAAAAAGAACCCAGGGGUGAUACUUGUAUGUUUUCUUGCUGUUUCUUUGACUUCUCUUUGGCAUUUUUAAAUACCAUUUUUCUCUCCCAGGAGUUCGAAUUAUCCAAUUUUUUAUGUGUGGAAAAAGCUGGGGUGUCUAGAUUUUCGUCCCAGAAUUAUUUACUUUUGUGGUAGUGGAAUUUGGUAAAAACUAAAAAGUGGCAUUUAUUAGUCUUUUAAUGCUAGCUGGGUCACAGUUAUUGUUUGUUUUGAUUUGAUGGCAAUUACUAAAGCUCAAUUAUUGCACAAAAUUUAUGCCCAUCUCAGUUGGUUAAAAAGCUGGAUGAGUGAAGUGGUGGCUUUUAUAUUAUUAUUAUUUGAAAUUGAUAUUGCAAUUUUCGUGCCUUUAUAAAAGAAUUCUUUGACUUUGACAAAAUAGUUUCAAGAAUUGGACAUUGUGAUUUUUGGCCAUUGAGAUGAAGUUCUCUAUUAAUUGUCUUCUUUAAUAAUAUAAAGUUUUGUUUAAAAAACAUUAUAUAUAUACAUAUAUUUCUUAAAUUAAAAGGUGGCUUUAUAAUUGGAUUUUUUUUUUGUCGUCAUUAUUAUUCUUUGGAUACUAUAAUCUUACUAUAGAGGUGAUUUCUAGUCUCCGUAGUUAAUUCUUUAAAAGAUAUAAUUAUUGGAGUGGGACAGAAGUUGGAUGAACACGUUCUAAUUAAAAAGUUUUGUUUGAUUUUAUAAAAAAAGUGUCUAGUUAUUGGGAUGGUUCUUAAAUUGUAAACUUGAAAAUAAUUAUCCAACAAAAGUGGUAAGGAUAUUGAGUUUGCUUAAUUAAAUAAUAACCUCCAUAGUCCCAUUUUUACCUAAAUGCGAAACUAGCUAAAUAUUACAUAAUAAAGUUAAUGUGGAAAGUAGAAUUUCUUCAACUUUUAACUGCGAACAAUGAUCGGAAAGACUAUUCUCAUGUGAAAUGACCUAAUUCUAGGGAAGUCUCGAAGUUUUGAUGCAAUGUUCUUCUAAAUCACUAGUCGACCAAUCAAGGUUGUAGGAGUUCUCAGGGUGAUGAUUUAAUUUUCAUUGGUUUUUCUGGAGUUGGGUCCUUUCGCGUUAACAGCUUCAUGAUUGGAGAAAAAAAAUAAACUUAUUUGCCUCACCUUGAGGUAAAUACGUUUGAGUUGAUAUAGUGGAGGCCUCUGUCUCACCACUAGUUUUUAGAAACCCAAAGUAUUUGAAACUUACUAUUAAAUUGAAGCCCAACUAAAAGUAUACAAAAAUUGUGUACAUAUUUAUAUAUAAAAUUAAUACAUAAUGUAAGAAGGGUCCAAUAAUGAGAAACAUCAAAAGUGUAUCUCCAUGUGCAAAAAGGCAAGAAAUGAAACUGCCCAUCUGCUGCUCAGUGUGAACUAGGAAGUUAUUAGUCAGAUUGGAUGAGUUUGAAUGCAUUACCUCCGUUUUCUUCAAAAAAGAAAAGAAAAAGAAAAGAAAACCCUUUUUUUAAAAAAAAAUUAUUAUCUCUAUUUUCAUUUCCCAUUAAGAAUUUAUUUCUAAAAAAAUUGAUACAAACCUUAAUAAAAGUAACAAAUAUCAACAUGUCUUCGGGACGAUUCGUACAUUGGUGAUAAACUUCUAUUAUUGUAUCAUUGAUAGACUCGUUUUAUAUGUUAAUAUUUUGAAUUUAAUAACUAUACAUGACAAUUGCACCACUAAUUAAUGAUUUUAUUUUUCUUUUUAAUAAUGUAGGAGCAGGAGAUGAAAUCUUAAACAUCAAGAUUAAGAAUGUUAAAGCUAUAUUCAUGUCAUUUGUUAUAGCUUAGUAGAUUAAUUAUGGAUAUCUAAUUAUCAAAAGAAAUAGGAGUGAAUAAUAUCGUCAAAACCACCCACAACUCUAUGUAAUAAUAAUAUUUUCUUAAAAAGAAGCCUAUGGUAUAGUUAAUUACAUUAAGAAGUAAACAUAGCAAACAUAUAUAUGCUUAUUUUUACAAAUAUAUGUAUGGAUGUAUGAGCUUUUCUUCUUCUUCUUCUUUAAAUUUGUGUGUGUUUUCAAUUAAAAAUUUAAAUGUUAUUAAAUAUGUAUUUAAAUGAGAUUAUGAUAUGAAGAUAGAAAUGAGAUCUAAAUGGCCCAUCACAUGAUGGUUUUGGAAGUACUUUUUUUCUAAAUUAAAAUAUAAAGUGCAAAAUGGGAAAAGUGGACUUGUCUUUGUUAAAAAAAAAAAAUUUAAUUAAAUUUACUGUUGAUGAUGAAAUGUCAAUUGAAUCUCUCUUUUUUGACCUUAAAUAAUAUGGGAAUGGGAAGUGUACGAGUCCUUAUCAAUUAAAAGGAAAAUAAAUAAAAUUAUUAUUUUAGAAAGAAAAAAAAAGAUUGAAUUGUGUAAAAUCCAAAACAACUUUGUAAAAGCAAAAUGGUCAAAUUAAGAUUGUACAUUGCAUUAAAACUUUGGUCUAAAUCCAAUGGAAUCCUAGGGCUUCAUUCUACCCUAACUUCCUUUUUUCUUUUUAAAUAAUUAUAACAGAAAAUAAUUUUAGAAAUAAUAACGAAGUAUAUAACAACAUUUUUUUAAAAAAUUAUAAAUAUAUCAAAGUCUAUCCGUGAUAGACGUUUAUCACCUUAUAAGUGAUAAACCAAUAUUUGCAUGUAAUAUGAUCUAUUAACGAUCAACUUUAAUAGAUUUUGUUAUAUUUGUAAUAUUAUUUUUAAAAUGUUGCUAUAUAGUUAAUUAUUUUAAAUCUAAUGACUAUAUUUGUAACUCUAUCAUUUUUUUUUUUUUUGGUGUAACUUGUUUUUUGGUUUAAGUUUUACUUUCACCGUUGGAAUUUAGUUAGAUAUAGACAUUUGAAGAGUUUUCUUCAAUCCAAAAGAAUGGAUGAUUAAUGUAGAAGAAUUAAAAGAUGUACGUGAAAUUAUUUAGAUAAAUUGUCGAGACAAUUGAUGCAUAAAAUUGAUUAUGUAAAUGAUUUUAUCGAUAUAUAUUUUUAGAUGAAUUGAUCACUUAAAGUAUAACAAAAUCCAAACGUGAGUAUAAAUUAAUACGAGUAUGAUUUAAUACACUUACGAUUUUAAUUGAUACAACCUUUAGGUUGAAGGACACUAGACUUGUAAGUUUUAUUAUUUUAUAUUUAUAUGAAAUAAGUUUUUUUAAAGUAUAAAGGUGAGCAUCGAUCGAUUAGAGUCCGUUUUUCUUUAUAAUCAGAGUCUUUAAAAAAAUUUAAACCGAUAUAGAUCGAACCAUUUCUCCCUCACCGAUUGACUAUCUUCGAUUCGGUUGACAUAGUUGUUCAAUCUAUCGUAUUUACUCCUCGAGAGAACGUUAAACGGAAGAAAAACGUGGGGGGAAAGGAGUAUUUGUUAAGUUGGGCAACAGAAAAUGGUACGUUAUAGUGAAGAAUACAAAGUAUAUGAAAAACCGUGUGCUUCACUGCUGAUCACAACUAAACUGCUUUUGCAGUAAACUCACUUUGGCUUCGUAUGGAGACCCACAUCACUCUCUCUCUCUCUUUUCUUUUGCUUUCAGUGCUAAUAACUCACAUUCCUCCAAUCACAACUUGCCACGUUUACACCCUCCACGUGUCCUUUCCUUCCAUAUCUCUCUUUUCGGAUUCUCGACAUAUAUGGACAAAUCGUAAAAGUGUUCGAAAUUAUUUACAAACACAAUAAAAUUUUAUAGUACAUAAAAUGAUAAAUUUCUGUAAGUGUUCGUUCGAUCUCACCGGUAGAAAUCUAGUCUAUUUUUGAAUUUUUGUUAUAUUUAUAAAUAGUUUAAUUUAUUUUACCAUAUCUAAAAACAAACCCUAACGAAAGUUAUUCUUAAAUUACAUGAGGAUUUAGUACUUAUCAACAUAAUUUUACUGAAAGUAUUUAUUAAAUGUAUUAUAUUAUUAUGAAAACUAAGGGACGAAAACGAAAAUUUUAUUUUAAAAGUAUGUCACGUGUUAAAUUGUGGUUAUACGAAAUAGAGAUGUGUUAUCUAAAUAUUUUUCGUUAAUUAAUAAGUUUAAAUUCAUAUAAAAAUAGAGAUGAUUGAUAAUGCGAAUAGGAUGAAAAAUACAAUAAAUUGUAUAGUUAUUCAAAACACGUUAAUAUAGUCGUGAUUCAAACUCGAACAUAUAUAUCUCAAUUCAUGGUAAAAAUAAUUAAAGAUGUAAAUUUUUUUUAACUUAAUAAAGAAAUAUAAAAUACAACAACAUAUACUUGAAUGAUUCUCUCAUAAAACAAGAAUUGGAAGUAUUAAAUCAUAAUCAAUUAGAGUGUGAAUUUAAUGUUUGGAAGUUAUUGAUUGUCUGAUUCUAAGUUUAUAAUUGUUAGUGGUUGAGAUGUAAUAACUCAAAUAUUAUUAUCAUUAUUUUGUCUUUAAGACUUUGCAUGCAUUGACAUGUUUCAUAAAUUCCAUGAUUUAUUACAUAUAAUUGUAUUCACAUAUUAUACAAAUAUUCUUGAAAAUGGAUGGAUAUUUGAAUGAAAUGUAUUAUAUUAUAAUUUGUACAAUACGUAUAAAAUUAGGUAAGUAUAGUUAUCGAUCACUAAAAAAAAGAGAGUAGAAUCUCAUUGAUGAACUACCACUUAUUUCGUUUCCGUGAUAAACAACUCAUUGGGGUCCUACUCAUAUGUUGAGUGCCUUAAGAGGAAAAAUGAUAACAUUUUUCAAAUACAAAAAAUUGUUCAUUUACCCUACUCUUUUCAUGUUAUAUAUGUUGGGUUUUGAUAUGGAAAUUUAGUGUGGUAUUGGUUUAUUCCAUUGCCAUUUUGAUGGGUUGGUGAUUGAAAAGAAAAAAAAAGAUGGUGGACCCUAAUGAAAAAUAAAGAAGAAAAUGCUUGGGGGGGCACUAUGUCAAGAAAACAAAGAGAGGAUAUGGUCAUUCACUCUUGUUUGUUUGAGUUAUGUUCCUUAGAAGUUUCCCCUAUGUCAUUUCACACCAUAUUUUCUUUACCUUUUUCUCCCUUCAUUCUCGACUCUUCUGAGUCACAUGAUUUAUCGUUAAAAAUGUUCGGAUAAGACCUUUCCUUAUAAUGAUCUCAAAGUUAAGGACGAAAUGAAAAUCAAACGAUUGAAAAGAUGUUUGUUAAAGGGAAAAAUCGACAAAAUGCAUUCGGGUCAGUGAGCGUGCAAAUAAACACAUAACAGAGACUUCCGAAGAAGAAAAAGGUUGGUUACCUUUCAAAAUGUUUGCUAAAUCCAUAGAUAAAUAAGAUCAAAUUGAAGUUGAUCCAGAACAUUGAUCAAUACUCAUUAAACAGCUUAUGAUGUUAGUUUAUUGGAUUUGAGUUAUCAAGACAAAACUAAUAAUAUAAUCAAUAACAGUUAUUACAAUAAUAAAACUUUAUUAAUAACUGUCAAUAGAUUAUAUUUACACUCUACGAGUUUUAUAACACAAAUGACACGAUGGACAAAAACAUCUUAACAAAGAGAAACAAGAAAAAUGAGAUCAUAUAUGCUUUAACAGGAAAUUACUUCGUAGUCAGAUAGACACAAUGCCUCUCUAUUUGUUCAAAAUCCAUUAAUGGAAAGGUAAAUGCAUUAAAAUUUUCUUUUUCUUAUAGUAAGAAAAGUUGUGUGUGCCUUUAAUUAAUUUGUGUAGCCAUGUUGCCUUUUGUCUUAGUUAGGCGCUACCAACCUUUGUUUGAGAGUACUCUUCACCUAUAGGAUCAUAUAGUUUUCUUAAUUAUUAUAUAUCUCUAUAUAUAUAAUUAAUAUAUGAGACCUAAAGCCCAACCAUUAUAUAUUAAUAAUGAGAUAUUUUUGGUGGAGCUUUUAGCCUAUAAUAAAAGUGAAAUAUAGUAAUUAAUUGAACUAUAUGUAUUUUUUUUUAAUACUAAGAGCAUAUGUUAUUAUAUAGUUGGCUCAAAUAAUUUCUAUUAUUAUAAAGUAUACAUGUGUGUGCGAUAAAUUUUAUAUAUUUUUAGAUCUUAAUGUAAAAUGAUAUGUUCCUUGGGAAUGUGUAGAGAAGUUUGGAGAUUACUCGAUGUUGUGAUUUUUUUUUGUGAAUUUCUAUGUAUGGGAUUUUUUAAAAAUCACUAACCAUAAAGGUAAUGAUUCAAAUCUAUUUUAGAGUUAAAUCAUAUGUGUUUAGCAACAAAAUUUCUAAACUUUUAUUUAUUUAAUUUCUUGAAUUUAAUAAAAUUUUAAACUUUUAAUUUAGUAGCUAUAAAUAUAUAGAAAUCAUGACAGAAUAACAAUUAUAACAUUUAUUUUAGAUAUAAUAUUUAAUUCUAAGAGUCUAUAUUGUCUUAACAUGUUUUUAAAUAUAUAAUUAAGUCAUUUUAAAAAAAAUAGAUAUUUGACAAUAACUUUUUAAAAUAACAUUUUAAAGUUUUAUUUUUUUAAGUCAAUACAAACAUAACAUUAGUAAUAGUUUAAAUAAAAAUUUAUUAUAGAUAAAAUUUAUCACUAAUUUAUUUUAGUGUAUAUAACGUUUUUUUAAAAAUAUUGUUAUAAAUUAGUUAUUGGUCCUAAAAUAAUAAUUUCUAUUAUUAUAAAGUAUACAAACGGUCCUAAUAUUGUUAUAAUUUAGUUUAAAUAAAUUAGACAAAUAAUGUAAAAGUAAAUCAAUGAAAGGUAUAAUUUAACCUUUCUAGCAAUAAAUUACCCAAAAAAAAAAAUAAUAACUUUUCACACUUUUUCCUUCAAAGUUUUACCUUUAUAUGGUUUUAAAUAAAGCAAAGCUAUAGAAAUUAACAAACAAAAUAAAAGAAAAUCAAGUAAUAUCCCUCUCUCUACUUCAAAACAUCACUUUCAAUUUUCAAAUCAAACCCUAACCCUAAUCCAAAAGAGAAAAUUUCACUCAAAAGCAAAAAAAAAAAAAAAAAAAGGGGGAAAAAGGAGAACAAAAUGAAAGCUACUUUUGAAUCAAAAUUGACUUUGAAAUCACUUUUGUUGGGUUUUAACCAUGCUUGUAAUUAUAACUAAUUAAAACCAUUAUUAAUAAUAUAAUUGAAUUAGUAACACCUUCUUUCUUUUUCUUCUUCUUAUUCUUUAAUUAAUUUGGGUGUGAGGAUAAAAAAAAAAUUAAAAUAGGAUUUCAUUUUAAAUAUUAACUAAUUAAGAAUUGCCCCACUAAUUAACUCUUUUUCUAUUUGCUAAAUCUCCAAUUAACUUUAUAGGAUGCUUUUGAUUUGAUCAAGUUAUAUAUGAACAAAAAUUAUGAUUGUGUUCAUUGAAGGAUGAUUACAUUAUUUUGUGGAUGAUAUAUUUUUAUUAUAUUUGGAGUGAAAGCAAAAGAAAAUGGUAUAGUAAAUCAUUAAAAUGAUAAGUAAGAGAAUAUUUUCUUUUGAAUUAGAUUCAAUCUCCUAAUUUAUAUAACAUUUAACUAAAUUUUAGAUUAUAUAAUAUUUAUGAUAAUUUUUUUUUUAUCAUUUUGACCAUUUACUUUUUUUUUUUCUCCUUGAUUUUCAAUAUAUAUCUAAUGACUUGAAAAAGAUGUAAAUAGUUUCUUUUGAUUUUCCAUAAAAGAAUUCACUAUUUCAGGAUAAAAUUAAAAACAAAAUUAUUUUUAAACAUACCAAAAUAAUAUAAUUAUAAAGUAUUUCAAAAUUUCAUAACCUAUCAUUGAUAAAUAUUAAUAAAUCGAUAAUAUAUUAGUAUUUACUAGGUAAACACAUAUAAAUAAUUAUAAAAUUUCGUUGUAGUUACAAAUAUUUUUUAAAGAGAAUUUUAAAAAAUAAUAAAAUUUAAAAAAUAUUUAUAACAUAUAACAAAAUUUCAGAUUCUAAUAAUAAUAAACACUGAUAGACACUGAUAUGCUACUAUAGGUGAUAUUGAUAGAUAAUAACAAAAGUUUAUUAAUUUUUAUAGUAAAUAUUUUAAUUUGUUUUAUUAUUUUUAAUUUUUUUUCUUUUGAUAUAAUUGAUUUUUUAAAAAUAAAUUUACAUUUUUUGAAAACUAAUUUUUUCUUUUAAAACUUUAGUUAAUUUUUUAAGACGUUUACUUAUUAUCUUAAUAUAAAUAUAUAUAUAUAUAUAUAUAUAUAUAUAUAUAUAUAUAUAUAUAUAAAGUUUUCAAACCAUUAAUAAAUUAAAAACCAAAACAACUACUUUUAAUCUUUAUCAUUAAAAUGAUUUCUUAAAAUAGGAAAAAAAUUAUUGAAAUUUAAUUAUUCCAAACCAUUACGUUAAGUCAAUGUAUCUUUACUUUUACUUUGACUUUUGUGUUCAUAGAUAAGGGAGAAAUUUUAUACACAAGAGUAAUUUUAUUUUAUUUUUUCAUAUAUUUACAUUUAAAACUUUAACAAAAUAUAAAUACAACUUCAUUUUAAAAAACAAAUCUAUUGUUUUAUAAAUAAAAAAUGAUGACAAUAAUUUACGUUAAAAUUGACCUCGAAUGAUUGAAUACAUAUGGAUGCAUGGAAAUUUGCUUAUACAAAUACAAAUAAAGUUUUUGAAUUUGAAAAAUAUGGAUUAAAGAAUUAAAAAAAAUAAAGUUUUGAUUCUAAAUUUGAAACUAAAGUUUGAAUUUCAAGAACACAAAAAGGACACAAGUAUUCUAAAAAACAAAUCCAAAGAAUGGCAUUGGGAUAAUCAUAAAAUCAUGAGAAUCCAAUUCCAAUUCCUCUUUUUGUGAGAUUGUGAGAAUUGAGAUUAAGUAAUCAAAAUAAAUUAGAUUUUACUCUUUAUAUAUAGUUUAAUAAUAUCUCAUUUGAUAGUUUUUUUAAUAAAUAUUUAUCAUAAAAACCAUUGGUCAGAGUUGUUGCAAACUUUUUCCAGGAACCAAAUUGUAAAAUAUAUCAGAUAUCACUACAAAAUAGUAAAACACUUCCAAAUAUAACGGUAGGAAUAGAUUGGAGUGAGUAUCGGCUCAGUCGGUUUUCAGACCAAACAUACUACGAUUAACUUUAGUAAAUGUUAAAACUGAUAUUGAUCAUGAAAGAGUGCGUCAAUCAAUCUACCAAUCAAUUAAAUUCGACUUAAACCUUUGAUUUUCUUAAAAAUUAUGCUUUAUGUUUAGAUUUUUCUCAAACAGAUUUAGAUCGAAUCUCCUCUUAUCUUUAAUCGACUACUCUUAGUUUGAUGGAUCGAUUCAUUUCAUCAAUCGUUCAUGAUCCCUCAGCUAAAACUAGCUCAAAGCUAACCAUUGUUUUUAUAGUAAUUUUUGCUUGUAAAAUAAUAAUUUUAGUGUUUAUAUGGAUGGAGAGGAAAAUUCCAAUAUGGAUCAAAAUUAAUCCAAACUCAACUAACAUAGUCGGAGAAUAUCCCAAGUUCAAUUUUCUCACAAAAGAGGGACACAUUUUAGUUUUUCUUUUCUAUAAUUUAAUUAUAUAUCAUUUUUUUUGGCUAAAUUGUAAAUUAUAUUCAAAACUUUUGAAAAUUAUUCUCGAGGAAGAAAUUAGAACUAUUAGGAGGUAAGAUGAGAGCACCACCAAUGUAUGAAUUUUACGUGUUUGAAGUACUAUAACGUUUAUUUUCCAUCUUGAUAUAUGAUUCUCUUCAGGUCAAUUUUGAAAACCAAUACCCAAUGAAUAAUAACAGAUCUGUUUUCCAGUAUAUUCAUUGUUGAUAUUUGAUAAUAUUUAUAAUAAUACUAUUUUACGAUAUAGUUUUGACAAUAAAUUUUUCGCUUGAGUGAUUUAUAGUCGAGUUGACCUGUAGAAGACAUCUCACCAACUCAAUAUUGAUAGGAUUAUAACACAAACUAAUUGCUUAACUCUAUGUCAACUGUAACUUGAGUCGAGCCUCAUACCUGGAUGACAAUGCCAAGUAGUUUGACGGUAAAAACAGUCCGCUAGACUCGACGAUUACCCUAAUGUCUUUCGCGAGGUAAUAUUGUAAAUCUAGAAAAAGAAAAAAGCAAUUUUUAAGAAAUAAAAUUUAUAAUUUAUAAUUUAAUUUUUUGAUGUCUAUUUUUAUUUAAUUUAAUUUUCUCUAACUUCUAUAGUGAUGACUGGCGAAUUGGUACCUUGAAAUUAAAUUAAAUUAAAUUUAUUUUCGUUGGGUGGGGAAAAGGGCAGAAAAUGCCAUACAAGUUAUUCUCUUGAUUCGAGGAGAGAGUUGUGUUCUUCUUCCCAACAUUUUUCAUGGAGUUUCAUUUCAUUGUUGAAAAAGGAGAGAGAUCAGAUUCAGAUCGAUUCUUAUCAUCAACACAACUUUCUUCUCCAUUCAUCACAUUCCUAGCUCAUUCUCAUCUUCUCUUCCACUUUAACUUCAACUACUCACUUUCUCUUCUUACUCAAUAUCAUGCCUCUUCUUCUCUUUCUUUCUAGGUUUUUUUAACUUCUACCUUUAAUUUCUUUCCCUCCUUCUCUUGCAUCACCUCACUUCAUCUUCCAGGUUUCUUUCUCUUUCAAUUCAUGUUUUCCUUUGUUUCAUUGCUCAAACUGAACUGAGCUUUGUUUUGAAAUUGUAAUUGUAGGAGCUUGUUUGUUAUUUACUUUUUUUUUUUUUUUAAUGAAGAUGAUGAUCGGAGGAUGUUACUUGUUUUAUGUGUUUGUAAUGUGCUUUCAUUUUCUUCUUCACUUUCUAAUUUUGCUAUGUUUGGCAGUUUUCUUCCUCCAGAUCUAUGGUUCACUUUGCUGUUUUGAUUUAUGUUUCUGGCUUUAAAUCUGGAUUUCCUGUUGCCAUGUGCUUGUACUUGAUGAAAAUAGGGGUUUGUUGUUGUUGUUGUUUUUGGAGGUUAGGGAUGGGGUUUCGGGGCAAAUGCAUCUCGAUCUUAACUUGGAAAAUGCCUUAUGUUGUCUCUGGAAGACUUGUUUGUUUGGGUUUUUGUGAAUUCUAACAGAUUUUUUUUUUGUUAAUUCAUGAAUCUGACCUUUCCUGAAGCUUCUGUGUACUUAUUUUGCUUUCGGACCUGCACAAGCCUGCUAAAAUGAGCUUCAGCUUAUAAUGAUUUUGCUUUAAGAGAUAUACUUCUACAUUACUUCAAGGAUUUUCGAUGGAAGUUUUUGUAUAGAAUGCCGUUGGAGUAUGAAACUAUUGCCUUUCCUUCCCUUUUUUCCUUUUUUCUUUUCAACUCAUUCUUUUUACUUCUUUCUCUUUUUCACAUUUACUUUCAUCAAUUUCGUCCGUUACAGAUGUUUCAAAUCGGAGCUUCUUUAUUAUAGUUAAGAUUUCAAAGUUAUAUGAGUUGUCUUAUCUGAUUUAAUUUCUAGUGUUCACAAUUUUAAGCUUUGAUUAAUUGAUGCCAGGCUUAUAGUUAUGGUCUUGAAUGCAACAUACCGAAUGCGUGUUUCUAAAGAAAGAAGUUGUGGCUGCAGAUACACCAGAAAGUUUGCUGAAGAGUAGUUUCUAAUGUCUUGUGGAAGCUAGGAAACAUUUUUCGGCAGAAAAGAGCUUGUUCACAUACCAUGUUCUGAAUUCAUCCAACCACCUCGAUUCCUAGUGCUCGUCUUCCAGAUCAUAAAGCAUCUCACCAUGCUCAAGCAAAUACUGAGCAAACUUCCUAAGAAGUUGCAGAAAUCGGAUACGGUGGAUUCUGCAACAAAUGAGUCUGGCAACAAUACUUCUCGUCUGGGACAUGUAUUCCAGUGUACAAAUGUAGGGAGCGCCUUCUCGAGUAAAUUAAAUGUUGUGAAGCGUGUUUCAUCAGCGGUUUUCCCUGCAAGUAUUGCAGCAGAAGCAGUGGAUCCCCACUUGUCAUUCAAAGAUGUUCCGAAUCCGCAGAAGCAGAACUUGUUUGUCAGUAAAUUGAACUAUUGCUGUGAGGUUUUUGAUUUGAAUGAUAUGGAGAAACAGGAUCUUAAACGUCAAAUGUUGAUAGAUGUUGUUGAUUUUGUUACAUCUGGAUCUGCAAAGUUCACUGAGACAGCAAUUUCAUCAGUAUGUAAGUUGUGUGCUGCUAAUCUUUUUCGCGUGUUCCCACCCAAAUCACGUUCAACUUCAACUGGUGGAGAAACAGAGGAUGAAGAACCAAUAUUUGACCCAGCUUGGUCACAUUUGCAAAAUGUAUAUGAUCUACUGCUUCAUUUUGUCAGUAGCAACUCCCUAGAUGCAAAAGUGGCCAAAAAAUAUCUUGAUCAUUCUUUCAUCCUGAGAUUGCUCGACCUCUUUGAUUCCGAUGACCCAAGAGAAAGAGAUUGCUUGAAAACAAUCCUUCACCGUGUCUACGGAAAGUUCAUGAUACACAGGCCUUUCAUCAGGAAGGCUAUUAGCAAUGUCAUGUAUCGUUUUGUUUUCGAGACGGAGCGGCAUAAUGGAAUUGCAGAGCUGUUGGAGAUUUUUGGUAGCGUGAUUACCGGGUUUGCAUUGCCAUUGAAGGAGGAACACAAGACAUUUUUAUGGAGAGUUCUAAUUCCUCUUCACAAACCAAAAUCAGUCGGAAUUUAUCAUCAGCAGUUAACAUAUUGUAUUGUACAGUUUAUAGAUAAGGAUCCUAAGUUGGCCAGUACAGUUAUAAAGGGACUUUUAAGAUAUUGGCCUUUAACAAAUAGCCAGAAAGAGCUGAUGUUUUUAAGUGAAACAGAAGAGAUUUUGGAAAUGAUCAGCAUGGUUGAGUUCCAGAAGAUCAUGGUCCCUCUCUUUCGUCGAAUCGGAUAUUGCUUGAAUAGCUCUCAUUACCAGGUAUGAUUAUUGCUUCCUAGAUUUUAAGGGUCUGAUUUAGAUUGCUGUUUUCUUUUAUUUAACUGCAUUUCACUAGAUUUUGGUUUUUCUUGUGUUAUUGUAUAUGCAUAUUUUACAAGCAUGGAACGGCUUCAAAUGGAUUUAUUCCUUGAUAAAUAUGAAGAAUUAGGAUUCGUUCCAAGUCCCUAAACCUAGUCUAUGUUGAUUUGAUUCGACUCCAAUGUGUUUUUGAGUGUUUAGUUGAUUUUUGGUUGGUACAUUUGUUUACUUUUCCAAUUCUCUUAGGUGGCAGAGAAAGCUCACUUGCUUUGGAACAACGAACACAUCAUCAAUCUUAUCGCUCACAACCGGCAAGCGAUCAUACCGAUUAUCAUCCCAGCUCUUGAACGAAAUACACAAAAGCAUUGGAACAAUGCCGUACUAAAUCUAACUUUAAAUGUGAAGAAGUUGGUUCACGAGAUGGACGAGGAACUCGUGCUUGCUUGCCAGGUUGACUUGAAGGAGGAACAGUCGAAGUUGGUUGCAGCGGCAGAGAAGAGGAGAUUGACAUGGGAGCGGCUCGAGAAUGCUGCAAGACCACAGCCAAUAUCUCCUAACAUUUCAUUUCUGGUAGAACCAGCAACUUGUGCAGUUGCUGGCUAAGCCACUCAGAAUCGGAAGAUCUGAGUCAACAAAACAACGGUAUCAUCAUUACUUUUGCAGUAGUACACCCGGAUCAUCUAGUUCUUUGAUUCAACUGCACAAAAAGCGUCUCAUCCGUCUCAUCGAGAUUGCGACGAACAAGUUACAGACGAUGGAUAUGAUCAGGUCCUGAUGAAACUUUCUGUACAGGUGUGUGGGUAAAAAGCAGGAGCAGCCUAUUUGGUUGUUAUUGCCAUAAAUUUGAGGAAAUCUGUAUCCUUGAUCAAACAGUGUGUUUCUUCACUGUUUUUUUCUUUCUUUUUUCUUUUUCCUUUUUCCAUAUCUCAUUCAUGAUGGGAUUUUGUGCUUUUGAGUUCCAAUGGCACUGGCAGCGUAUUGAUGAAGCCUUCAGCUAUGAGCUUGUUUGUUCUUCUGAAAAUUCAAUGUCUUUCUUCUCUUGAAUUCCAAACAGGAUGGUGAAUCAUCCUCAUUUCUUUGAGAUGGUGAUGGAGCCCGAGAAUGCAUUUUUCUGUCCUUUGCCUUUUAACCCUCUUUUUUUAUCUCCAAAAUUAUAUAAUAAAAUGUACAUUUUGCUCUCUCUAUAUGUAUUGGCGGAGGGCGGAGGGCGGAGGGCAGAGGUUUGAAUCAACCUUAGCAAUGUAAGUGAUAUUUCUUGUUGGAAAAAAUACCUUUUUUUUCGGGUUUAGUUUCUGUUUGAUUCUUGCACAUUUAUGUCUUAUUUGGUAACCACCUUGUUUUUAUUUCUUAUUUUUUCCAGAUUUCUUAAAAUUCUAAAAAUAAGUUAAAAGAUAAGUCUUUUAGUUUUUAAAUUUUCGCUUGAUUUUUAAACCAUUGGUAAAAGAAAGGAAGAAGGAGUGUUGAUAGUUUUAAUUCUAAAAAGAUAAAAACGAAAAUCAAAAUGGAUACUAAAAGGACUUUUUAGGUUUGGAGUUUGGUUUUAAUUUAGUUUUUAAGUCUUUAAACAAUUUUGUUAUAUUUUAUAAAUGGUAUUAAAAUUGUAGCCAUACAAUGAGAGGUUUGAAGUAAGAGUUAGAGGUGUGGGUGUAUAUGUAUGAUAUCUAAGAACUAAGAAGAAAGAAAAGGGUGUGAUUGUGAGAGCAAGGGAAGUAGGGUAGUCCAUGAAACAGAGGAUAAUGGAAAAGAAAAAGGAGGCAAUUUCUGAGGUGUUAUCUGCCAUUUGAAGCUCAGUCCCCUUUUUCCCAAAGGGGACAAUUUGAUUGUACAAUUAUUGCUUUCUUCUCCUUCACCAUUUCUCCCACAUUUUCCUUCUCCACACUUUCUCAUUUCUUUCAAAAUUUAUUUUUAAUUUUCAUAUCCUUACACGAUUUCAAUCUUUUUCAAAACAUAGUUUUGAAACGAUUUUAAAGGGUGCUUUUGAUUCUUAAAAUUCAUGGAUCUAAUAGUACAAUUUAAUUUUAUAUUUACUAAAUUCUUUUGGGUUUAAAUUUUUAAUUUUUUUUUGAAUUUAUUAAAUAAAGUUGAAAAUGCAAAAACUUGUUUAAGACACACUCUCAAAAGCUUACUAAUCAAAUAGAUGUAACCAUCAAAGUUCAGUGAAAAAUCUAAUUAAAAUUGGUGGUUGACAAUGUGUAUCAAUUUGCAUUCGUCCCAUUUAAAAACAUUCUAACUAUGAUAUAUAAUAACUCAUUUAGAUGAGUGGUAUAGUGCUUUUGUAAUCAAGAUCAAAAAAGAGAAAUUUUCUAAUGUGAUUAAACCUCUUGUUUUUUCAAGGCCAUAGUGAAUUUUGUUCGAAUUUUGAAAUUUUACUCACCAUGAAGCAAUUUUAUAAAAUUGUCUUGAUUUCUUCUCGUUCAUGUGCGACCAACUUUAAGACUAUGCACCAACUCGGCAGUUGCACACGAGCAACUCCAAAUUGUAAAUAUUGAUCUAAAUAUCAAUAUUUGGAAUAUGAAAUUUUGGUAUAUUUGUAAUUGUUUUAAAGUAUUGCUACGUAGUAAUAUAAUUAAAAAUUAAAAUUGAGAAGCAAUCACGUGUUUACUUAGAGGGAGAGAGAGAGAGAAAAAGGCGAAACCAGAGGGUUUUAGGUUUCUUCUUCGCUCAUAGUAAUUGCCCAACGACUUCCAUUCAAUCCUUUUCCACACUCUAAACUUUCCAUCGCCAAACCUAAACAGAGAUUCCCAAUUUCGGAACUGAAAGAAAGAAGGGAUGUACCACGUUCUUCCACCGCAAGAACAGCAUUUCUCUUACAUUACGUACGAUGUCCAAAGACGCCAAUCAAGAUAAAGGCUGUGUCUCUUCGCUCUGUAAGAACGACGAUCUCUUUAAUUUCUUCCAUUCUUCCAUUUUUCUAAUUUUUCUAAUCGAUUUGAAUAAUUUUAUCAGUUUAUUCGCUGUGUGUUGCUGUUUUUGCUGAUUCGAAUUAAACUUGCGUGUGUUGCUUGAAGUGUGUUUGUUGUUGCUGCGAUUGAGUUAUAUAGUGUAUUCCAUCUUCGAUUCAAUAAUCAUCUAAAUUUCUAUCUUUCGGUGUUUUGUUAGAAAAUUUAUAUAAAAAAAAAAGAGAAAGAGGAGAAUUAGGCUUUGGAGAGAUAUUGGAUGUAAUUUGUUCUGAGUUCUUGUUUUUUUUUCUUCUUCAAUUUCUUUGAUUUAAUAAAAAAGAGUCUGGGUUGUAUAUUUGUAUUCUUACCAUGUUCCAAUUUAUUUUUCAAAUUAGAGAUAAGAACAAGGUAUUUAGCAACAUUUAAAAAGAAGUUAUUAAUAUAGAAAAGUUUACCGAUAUCUCUCCAAAAAAAUUUGUAUAGAAGACACUAUACGCUAUAUAAUAAACACACUUCAACAGAUAUCUGAAUGCUUUCGAGUAACAGUCACUAUAUUUAUAGUAUUUGUAGCAAUAAAUUUUCACAUUAUAUUUUGUAAUAUAAAUGUAAAUUUUAAAAUUACAUAAAAAACUUUUUCAUGAAAUAUUGGUGAGAGAAUGGAAAUUUAGAUAUCAACUUUGUUGCAUUAUUUUCUACAGAAGUUGAACUCUUAAGAUGAUGGUAAAGUUUAGUUAAAAUAAAAUAUUAUUUAAUGUAUAUUGUAAUAUGACAAUUAAAAAUUAAUAUUAAAAUAUAAAAAUCAAUAAUGUGAGGGAGUCAGUAUUCGACCCCUUAUUAAAUCCACCUUUGCCGACACUUAUAGACCACAAUGACCAAUAUUUACGAGAUGGUCUAGGUCUAGGUCUAAUUAAUCUAUCACUAACAAACGUUUAUAUAUGCAAUUUUUAAAUAAUAUUACUAUACGUGCUAAUACUAUCCCAAAUCUUUGUUAUUAAAUUGUUAUUAUAACAUUUUUUUUUGGAUUUGAUGUGUUAGAUUUUUAUUCAAUUUAUUAUUAUUAUUAUUAUAUCUCUUUUAAAACGUCGGGAAACAUCUUUAGAAAAAAGCACAAGUUGGAAAACAUCGAUCAAUUUAUACUUAUAAACUUUAAAAGUUCUAUCACUCUUGCGAGUAUAUUAUUUUAGACCAUUUACUACAUUUUAUUUAAAAUAACUAUGAUAAACUUAAAAGUUUAUUAGUUAAACUUUAAAGUCUCCUAAAUCAAUCAAUUUAGACUUUUAGGUAUAUUUAUUCUUGUCUACUCUCGUAAUUGAUUCAAAAUUUAAUGGAUAAAAGAUUUAUAUUGACAAUGAAAAUAAGUAGUUUUUAAGUUAUAAUGGAUAAAAGAUUUAUAUUGAUAAUGAAAAUAAGUAGUUUUUAAGUUAUAGCUUCUUCUUCUUUUUUACAUUUUUUAUCAUCUAAAUAUAUAUGUUGGUGAGAGUCUAUCAACUUAUCAAUGUUUAUCCAUGAUAAAAAUUGAUACGAGUAUAUUCUAUCAACAUCGAUGUCUAUUAGUGAUAAAGGCUUAUUGUUUAUAUGUAUGUAACACCCUAAAUGUAGGGGAAGAUAUGAAUGAACUGAUAUCACAUUUAAUUAAAAGAGAUCCUGAGAAUUUAAUUAAAAGAGAUCCUGAGAACAUGAGAGUAAAGUUAAGAAAGACUUAAAAUAGUUCAAAGUUACUACAUAUUUUAACAAAGUGCACUUUCUUUUUUAAUAGCUCGAUCAUAUAAACUUUGUUGGACCUGAGCAUUACAAUUGAUCACUACUUUUUUUACCAUUUAUAUGAAUAGUUUGACAUUUUUUCUAUACGUGAAAAUUAAUCUCUUUUAAUUUGUAAUAUACAUUGCACCUUGUUUUUAUUUUACACUUUAACUAUUUAUUUGCAACUUUGACUGCACCCUUUUUGUUUAAGAAAACAUUAAAGAAAAUAGGUUUUAUGAAUGUGUUUAAUUUUUUGAAUUACUCAAUCUAUAUAUUUAACAGAAGUAACCAUUUAUGUAAUUUAAAAUUUAUCACAAAUUUAAUUUAAUUCCUCGAAUCUUCAAAUUCAAUUGGUGUUUUGUAUUAUUUUGAUCGAUUAACUUUCAAUAUUUGUUGAGAAUUGUCCUACAUUAAUAAUACUCAAUUUAUUGGCAUGUCUAAGCUCGAGAGAAAUCAAGAGGUGUGACAUGGAAAAAUGUACUACAAAAGGGAAAACUUAAAGUUUUCAUCCCUAGUUGGUAAUAAUAGCACCAAUAAGAAAAUAUAUUUGAAAUGUACUCAGUUUCAUUCUCGCAUCAUAAACUACCAUGACAUUCGUCAAAGUUACACCUAAUCACAAUCAAUUGUAAGAGGAAGGAUAUUCUUAAUUAGCCUCGUUUAUUUAAUGACCUUCCAGAAGAACAAAAAAAGCAAGUAAAUCCUAAUAAAUGAGAACUCUAACCUUACUUUUGUGUGCUUAGUUGAACUAACUACACUCUAAAUACCGAUUUAGACAUUAAAUUUACCUGACAAGAAUCUUUCACACGUGUUGAAUGAAAUAGCAAAAUCGAAUUAGAAGAAGUGAGCUGGCCAAAGGUUAAACCCACGAAGACGUCAUCGUGACAACGUGUGCAUGAAAAUCCACACACCAACCAUAUCUAUUUUUUUAAGCUACCUGAAUACACAUCUAAUUCAACUACUACUAUAUAAAGUUCUUUCAACCAAUUUUUGGUGCUAAAUAAAGAAGAUGUAGAUAUUAUGAACAAACUUAUAGGUAGCCAAAUGCUUUUUAAUGAAGGUAGCUGAAAAGCAUUAACAGAAUAUAUAUGACUAUGAGACAUUUCAAUUUUUGGUAGAUAUAUAUUUCCCAAUUACAUAAUUCAAAGUGGCAAACUUUUGUCAAACUUUAGGUUAAAAUUGCAAUUAAAAAUGAGUAAUUAAUUUUGGGCAGGUCAAUUAUAACCUAACCAAUUAUAGAUAGAUUGUGUCCUUUUUCAAUAUAUGGAGAUUGUUAAAGUGUGUUUCCUUCAAACACAAACCUCUUUUUUAUUAUAUUUGACAAUUCACGAUUCACAUUUCGACUAAUUUCACGAGAUGACUUAUCUGAUCUUACAACAUAAUAUUUGGGUGUAAAGAAAAUUUGUAGAAAUUAAUUGUUAGAUUGAUGACCACCGUUGAUUGAACUUGUGACUUCUCAGUUAUUUUUUAUGGUCAAUAUAAGGAUUCACGUUUAAAUUUUGAUGUGUUUGAGAUUGAUUUUGUAGAUAUCAUCGUUACUACAAAUUUGGCUUAUAGUUAAAAUUAAUCAUUUGUAUUCCAAAAUUUUGAAUUCUAUCAACGAUAGUCAGGAUAAAAUUUGUUAUAAGUGGUAAAUAUUCUUUAAAAUUUAUUAUUUUUAAAAAUUUAUCUAAAUUAAUUAACUUAAUAUUUAAUUUUAAAAUGUAAUUUUCAUAUAAUCAAAUCCAACCCUUAAUAAUUAAAAUAAUUUUAAAAUUUGACCAAAGUGACUUAACAAGUCAAAAAUCACUUCCAAGUUUACAAAAUAAUCUAAAGUUUUUUUUCUAAAGUAUAUGACUAAAUUUUGCAAAUUUGAAAAUGAAAAUGAGAAAAACUAAAUAUUGGGUAUAUUUUAUUUAACCCAAAAAUCAAAUGUAUGGUUUCUAUUUUUUUUUUUUGAAAAAGGAGAAUUAAAAUUAAAAAUUGAAGAGAUCUCAACCAACCCUUUUAAGUCAAAGGUCAUCAUAAUGAAGUGCCCAAAAAUUAGAUGGGUGCCAACAUUUUUGGACCUUUUUGUUCUUCUUUAUAAAAAAUAUUGAUAAGUUUUGGAAGCACUUUUCAGAGAGCCAUUCAAUUUUGGGCAUAAAAGUCCUUUUCCUCACGUAUAUUUCGAAAUUUGUUCAAUUUUAGUUUUGUACGACCAUUUUUAAAUUUAACCCAUAUUGUUUGUCUAUUGUUGACUUUUUAAAAAACUCAUGGGUUACUUAUUAUCAUUUUCACUCUAAAUAUUAAAAAGAUAUAUUCAUAUAUUUUUUAUUUUUAUUAAAAUUAAAAAAAAUUAUUUUAAACAACAAAACUAUUGAAAAUAUUUACAAAUAUACUACACUAUCACCGUUGAUUGUAAUAACUACUGUAUGUGUUUAUAUGUGUCAUGAUAGCUAUUAAACAUAAUAUUUUAAUGUAUUUGAAAACAAAUCAUCAAAGUAAUACAAUAAUUAUAAUUAUCUUAGAAUGAGCUAAAAUAGUAUUCCAAUGCAUUUUCAAAUAUAGUAAAAUUUUAAAUUCUAUCGAUAAUAGACAUUAAUAAAAGUCCAUCAAUAUGAAAUAUAUAUUUUAGGAAUAGUUUGGAUGUUAGAUUUUGUUAAAUUUUGUUUAAAGUCGUACCAUAUUUAUUGUGGCACUAAUAUUCUCACCUACAAACCAAACAUGGUUUGGAAAGAAAUAAUACUCCAAAAGAGAGAAAUGGUAGAGAUUUUGUGCAUAUAAAAUACAAACAAACACAUCCCCAUCUCUCAAACCCUCUAACCACUAAAUAUAAAUUAUAAACUUCCUCCUCACCCACUUUUCCUUUUCUUUUUCCCUCACAAACCUUCCAACAUAUUAAUUAUAUUGAUAGCCACCACUUUUUCUUUCUUUCUUUCAUUAUUCAAUAUAUUAUUAUUAUUAUCAUAAUCUCACUUCAUAUACUUCGAACAUUCAAUAUUAGUAUCUUUUUUAAUAAUCAAAUUUAGAUUAAUACUUUCAUGUCCCUUUCUUUUAUAUAUGGAAUUAAUGCACUUUUUGUUCUUAUGAACAUAGUCAAAUAUUUAAUCAUCACAUUGCAUUGAGUUUUUUUUCCCAUAAAAUUGCUCUAGUGGGCAUGAUUAGGAGACUAUAUAAUAUUUUUUUCUUCUAAACUUUAGAUAUGGUUACGAAGACCUAAUAAAUAAAUUAAAGAAAAAAUGUUUAAAGCGUGAAAUCAUUUAAAAUAUUUAUAAAUAUAUAGUAGAAUUAUGUUAUAUUUGUAACUAGUUUUUCUUUUAACUGUAUAAUAUUUAUAUCUAUAAAUGAUAUGAUUUCAAACGAUGUUUAGAAUUUGACAAUAUAUAAGACUUUGAAAUACUUAAAUAAUUCAACUCUACUAAUUUCAAUAAUUUUAUUAUUCAAAUUUGCAUAUGUAUUAAACACUUUCACAACAUGCACUCUAAAUACGAAUUUUCUAACUUCAAUCUAAUAAAUUCAGAUUGCAUAAUUCUAACUCAUCGCUCGAAAAACUUCCUUAGGAUAAAAUAAAAUUCGAAUGACGAAACAUAGUCAAAUUUUGUAUUUUUUUUUAAUCUUUUCUUAAUUUGAUGAUUAAAACAAAAUAACCAAAAGGAAAAAAAAAGAAAAGAAAAGAAAGAAAUAAUUAGAUGUACCAAAAGGGAGUGAAGGCCAUGUGGGUUUGAUCCUACACAUUAAAUGAUGGGCAUGAAUUAUGUUCCCUACUCAAUUUUACCUCUUAUUCACUAUUAGCUGUAUGUUGACUCUCAUUAUAUACAUUUAUACUUUAUAAAGAUUUCUUUUUUGUCACACUAUAUUUCAUUAGAACUAUACUAUAUAUCAUUUAUUAUGCCAACCAUUAUUCUAAUUUAACGACCAUUUAUUGUUAUUAUUAUUACUAAUCUCAACUAACUCAACAAAUUAACACCAUUCUUAUUCAUUUUCUUAUAAUAGAAGCUCAAAUCUUAUCUUUCAAUCUAUGUUGUAUGUUUAAGAAAAGAUAAAUAGUUAAAAAUAGAACAAAAAAAAAAAAAAAACGAUUUAAAUGAGUUAUGGAGAGCUGGAUGCAUUUUAUGUAUUUAAGAAUGAAUUUACUGUGUUUCUUCUUAGGGUAUGUAAAUCUAUAAAAAAAAAAAAUGGAAGAAUUACAAAGUUAGUGGAUACUAAAUUAAUUACGAUGUUAAAUCAAUGAUUCCUUUGACUAUAUUUUUUUCUUUGAGUAAGAUAAAGGAUCGAGUAUAUUGUAUAUCAAUGGAGCGCGCGAUGGUCGAUUUUUUACAAAUAUUAGGUUAAUGUGUGGUUAAAAAAUUAAUUUUUAUCGAUGUUGCAGUGAAGAUUGCUAUAAAGUCAUAUUAUUGAAUACGCUAUAACAAAUGAGUGCAUGUCAAUUAUCGUUGAGUGGAUUUAUUGACGUUGUUUGUGUUUGAUAGUAUUAAUUUUUUUUCGUUUAUUUGUUUUCUAAAAAAUCUUGUAGUUGAGUAAAACUUCUUUUUCGGAAGGUAUUUGUAUAUGUAUUAUCCAAUCUUUCCUCUUAAGUUUUAUCUCUUAGAGACGUGAAAAAAGUGAGUAAUGUAUAUCUUUCAAAGAAUAAGAAUUAAAGAGCAAAAAUAAUCAACAUAUACUUAUAGCUUUAGAAAAAUAAAAGAAUAUUAAUACGAUCUUAAAUACGUAUUAAUUUUCUCGUGAGAAGUUUAGAAACAAAAAUUAAGAUACAUCGAAAAAAACACUUCAAGUUUCUCAUAAGUUCCUUAACAUAAGAAAAUCACACAUUUCAUUUUUUUUUUCUUUAAUACAAUAACUAUGAUGUAUGAGAAUUUAAAGUAUUGACCUUAAGGAGAAAACGUACGAUCGAUCUUAAUCUCAAAAUGAAGACCGACCUAGUUUCAUACUUACAGAACCUUAGGCAAAGUAGAAAGAAUAUAUAAAAUUAAAAAGAAAUCUUACAUUUUCAUUUCUUGAACACUUAAUUUUCUCGACUAAAUCAUUUAUACGUUCUUAAAAGGAGACAACUACUUUCACGUUGUUGAUGUUUGUUAGAGAAAUUAUCAAACAAUCAUUGAGAGAUAUAUAAAUUCAAAAUGAUGAUUAAUUUAGGAGCUAAGCAACAACUACGAGAUUCAAUCAUUUUUUUCUUUCAUAGAGCACAAACACUUAGUCUAUCUAAAAUUCAACAACAUAUUUGUGGCGAUAAAAGAUUGAAUCUUCCACCUUUAGAAUGAAAUAUCAUACCAAAGACGAAAACAUAAUUCAUCAAUCAAUAUUCGAUAUAAAAUAUUAUUUAAUGAAAUUUAAAACAAAACCAUACAAAUGCAAAAAACACAAAGAGACUAUAACAAUUGAUAUAACUUAAUUCCAAGAAUGACCAUGAUAGACCAAAAAACCGAGCCAACUGACCGAAUAAAAGUCGGCUGGUGUUGAUUUAGGAAAUGACAAUAAAAAAAUUCUAAAGAGUGAAACAAAUCGACCAAUCAAAAUUGACUUUUUACUCUCUAAUAAUCAAAGUCGAUCCGAACAUUAACUUUGAUGGACCAAUCAACGAGCAUCCCUAAUUAAUUAAACACUCUAACUUUAACAAGAAGAAAGCACCAAAAAAUAGAGUGGUUAGUUACUAUUACAAAGUAGAUUGUCAAAAAAUUGGGUCACCCUUUGCUUGGUUAAAAGCCAAACCCACUUUUUACUUUUCCAAAUUUCUACUUUUUCCAAAUUUUCACUAAGCAACAAAAAGUUAGACAUUUACCCGCCCUUUCUACCAGGGGGUAUAACGGUAACUUCACAGUUUCCCAACCGUUUUAAUCAAAAGAUUUGCCAAUUGCGCACCAUCAUUCAGUCCCACGCGCGCCCAUUCUAGUGUGCUUAAUAAGGUCCCUAACGUCAUUUCACUAUUUAAUGAACUUUGUCUCCAUAUGCCUUAGGUUUUGGGACAUUUUGAAAAAUAAUCCUCAAAUGCCUUUCAUUUUUCUUAACUAAUUCAAUCGUAUAGUUUUCACAUUCUUAUCUAUUUAGUCGAGAUUGAUCAUCGAGAGUUUAAUUAAAAAAUUAUCGUGUAUUAGAUUUUUUUUGAAGAAAUUUUGCGAAGAAUGUUGAGAUGUUACACAUUUUUUCUCUCUUAAUGAUCAUUAUACAAAAAUCUUACAUCUAUUCAAAUUUUCUCGAAGUUUUGUUAUGUUUAUUAGUACGUAAUCUUUCAAAUAUAAUGUCAAUCCAUGCUUCUACAAUUAUACAAAAUCCUGAAUGGAUUUAGAUUCUUUUCAAAUAGACGAUUGUAGGAUGAUUUUUAAGUUUUGAAAAUGUUUGAUUUCGAGAAAAGUUGAAUAGGAUUUGUGAAAAAUCUUCAUUAUGACUGGGAUUCUUCAAGAAAGUUGUCGAGAAUCAUUAGUUUGGAUUCUAUCACUGUCUAUCAAUAUUACACAUUUGAGUAUCUAUCCAUCAAAGUUAAAAUUCCAAUUUUGUUUACAAAGAAGUGGUCCCCAGUAGCGUUAAUACACCCACGGGAGCGAGUAGGAAUGCAUUUCAAUACGCGCGAGAGUGGGGUGGGGUUAUAUUGAUGUCUGUUCUCUUUUUUAUCCUUCCCGCGGCCAUUAAAUGAGCCUCCUCAUAACUCACUCACACUGCUCUCUUCCUCUCUGCUGCUUUGAGGUUAGAGAGAAAAGAGUUCAACAAACAACGACUUAAAGAAAGAGUAGAAGAAGAAGCCAUUAAUGCAGAGCUCAACUACCCAUUUCUAGGGCAAUAUUUUUCCUUCACUCGCAAACACACACACACACACACAGAUAAUAAACCAUUUCUUCCUAGAUUCACCAAUGCUUCUCUCAUUCUUUGCUUGAUUCAUUUCCAUUCUCUGUUUGGAGCUUUAUUAUAGAUCUUCCUCCACCAUGUGGAACACGGCGGAUAAUGUGUUUGUUCGAACCGCCUCGUUUAGAGAAGACGGAGAAGAUGAAGAGGCCUUACGUUGGGCAGCGCUUGAGAGGUUGCCUACGUAUUCGCGUGUUCGUAGAGGUAUUUUCAAGAAUAUUGUUGGAGAUACUAAGGAGAUUGAUGUUAGUGAACUUGAGGUUCAAGAACAAAAGCUUCUUAUUGAUCGAUUGGUCAGUUCGGUUGAUGAUGAUCCCGAGAUGUUUUUUCAACGAGUGCGACGCCGUUUUGAUGCGUAAUUCUUCUAAUUUUGUUUCAUUGCUUGUUUAUGAUUUUUUGAUGUGGUUUAUUUACUGCUCUUGUGUGUGUGUGUUCGGAGAAAACAAAAUGAAAGGAUAAUGGUGAGAUUCUUUUGGAUUAUUUCUCUGCUUUGCUUUUUAUUAUUAACUAAUAAGUCAAAUGUGCUGUGAUUAUUGCUUCAUAGAGCUGUUUGAAAUUUUUGAUCGUGUCAAUUUGAGAGACGUUUAUCUUACUGUCACUAAUAAUGCUAGCUAAUUCUUGUUCCUGCUCAAUUUUGUUUUGUCAUUGGCUUGUGAAUUUGUAAUUUUCAUUAUUAAGCUACUUUCUUCUUAUUAACUUAUGCGUGAAAUGUGCUGUGAUUAUUGGUUAGAAUGUCGUUUUGUUGCAUCAUGGAGCUGUUUUUCACUAAUUACUACCGUUUUGAAGUUUGUGAUCGUGUCAAUUUGAGAGCCGUUAAUCCUAUAGUUAUUCUUACUAAAAUGCUUGCUAAUUUCUUUUCCUGCUGAAUUUUGCUUUUUGAUUGGUUUGUGAAUUUGUAACUUUCAUGAUUAAGGUACUACUGCGAUCAUACAAUUGCUUUACGUUCUUUAAUUUUUUUUUUUUUGUCGCAGAGUUGAUUUAGAGUUCCCUAAGAUUGAGGUUAGGUUUCAACAGUUGACUGUAGAAUCGUUUGUUCACAUUGGAACCAGAGCUCUGCCGACUAUUCCCAACUUCAUGUGCAAUAUGAUGGAGGUAGCGUAGUAUUUACUCUGUAUCUAUAAAAUGAUUAGUACGAAUUUUUUUUUUUUUUUUGUUAAUCAACUAUGGAAAAGUGUUUUCUUCAUUUGUUCUUCUUAUGGUUACUAGAUGUUUGUAUACAUUGUGCCAGGCACUUCUUAGGAAACUAAAAAUAUACAGCAGUCAGAGAAGCAAGUUGACAAUUUUAGACAAUGUCAAUGGAAUUAUAAGACCUUCCAGGUAAACUUUCUAGUUCUAACAAAAGUAGAAGUUGAAUCUUUGAUUAUGUUCCGAAUUUCGAAUUUUACACUAUCCUGAGCUCUUUUGUAGAUUAACUUUGUUAUUGGGUCCCCCGAGCUCUGGAAAGACAACUCUUCUUCUAGCCCUUGCUGGUCGCCUUGGAAGUGAUUUGCAGGUACUGAACAAUUGAAACUUUGCCCUUCACUGCAGAAACGUUGUUGAUAUUAACUAUCUGUUUUUAAUUCUUUGGUCAGCAAUCGGGGAGAAUAACAUAUAAUGGGCAUGGGUUCAAUGAGUUUGUUCCGCAGAGGACAGCAGCUUAUGUUAGUCAACAGGACCGACAUAUUGCAGAAAUAACUGUCAGAGAAACUCUCGAUUUUGCAGGCCGCUGUCAAGGCGUGGGGUUCAAAUAUGGUAAGCUAUGAAAAAUCUUGCAGUUUGACAGCUAAUACUUCUCUUAAUACUUAUUUGAAUGGUGAAGAUAUGCUCAUGGAACUAGCAAGAAGGGAAAAGAUUGCAGGGAUAAAACCUGAUGAAGAUCUCGAUAUAUUUAUGAAGGUAUGUGAUACUUCAUGUAUAAUUUUUCUUUAAUGUUCUUUUGUUACCAUCUGUUUUAUUGAAUUGAUAUGAAUUUGAUUGGUUGUAAUUGCUGCAAUUUUCUCUUUAGUCAUUGGCUCUAGGGGGUCAAGAGACAAGUCUUGUGGUGGAGUACAUCAUGAAGGUACAUUCAAUUUACUUUUCCCCCCUUGAUAUUUAUUGAACUGCUAAUAGAAGUUGCAACCUUGGUCCUUUUAGAUUUCACGUAUAUUUAUGGAUUAUUUGGCAACAUGUAAGAUAUGAUUAUUGAACUUCCAUUAUCCUCAAUCUCAACAAGUUGCUUUACUCUCCAUAAUCUUUAGCUUGGCGUAGAAGAUGCAAUCAACAUUUUGGUCGGUCUCACUCUCCAUAAUUUUUGGUUAUGAAGUUUUAUUUCUGGAAAAGCUGGUAACUCUGUUUAGUGUUUGACAGGAGAUUUUCAUUAAUUAGUUAUAUUAUAGAACCUUAAUAAUUCAACGUAAAAUUUUGAAAAGCGUACAGGUUUUUUAAGAAUUAUAUCAUUGUGCGUUCUUUCUAUGCAAUAUUUUGACGUCAUCCACACCUGAAGUAUUGAUAUCUGCGAAGAUUUUAGGGUUGGACGUGUGUGCUGACACAUUGGUAGGAGAUGAAAUGCUCAAAGGGAUUUCUGGAGGACAAAAAAAGCGUCUUACGACCGGUUUGUUACCAUCCAUCUCUUCUACACUAAUGGAUAUAAUAAUGAGUUUUGAUGAUUACAACUCAUUACUUCAGGCGAAUUGCUAAUUGGCUCUGCAAGAGUUCUAUUCAUGGACGAGAUAUCAACGGGGCUUGAUAGUUCAACUACCUAUCAAAUUAUCAAGUAUCUUAGGCAUUCUACCUGUGCACUUGACUCCACCACUGUAGUUUCUCUCCUGCAGCCUGCUCCUGAGACCUAUGAGUUAUUUGAUGAUGUUAUACUUCUCUGUGAAGGCCAAAUUAUAUAUCAGGGACCGAGAGACUCUGUUCUUAAUUUCUUCACAGCUAUGGGAUUUACCUGUCCCGAGAGAAAGAAUGUUGCAGACUUCUUGCAAGAAGUAAGCAAAGAGUGUAAAGAUUGAACUGAAAAUUCCCACUACUUUUUUGCUAAUGCGUUUGCUUACCAAAUAAUGGCUAUAGGUUAUAUCAAAGAAGGAUCAGGAGCAGUAUUGGUCAGUUCCUGAUCGUCCCUACCAAUUUAUCCCUGCAGCAAAGUUUGCCAAAGCUUUUCGUUUGUAUCAUGUUGGAAAGAACUUGACUGAAGAAUUGGAAGUUCCUUUUGACAGACGUUAUAACCAUCCAGCUUCCUUGUCAUCUUCUCAAUAUGGAGUAAAGAGGCUUGAACUUCUUAAGACCAGCUUUUCAUUGCUAAGGCUGUUAAUGAAACGAAACUCAUUUAUCUACGUUUUUAAGUUUAUUCAGGUAAAUAAAGCAGUUGUUCUUUAUCAAUUUUUGGUUUGAUUUUAAUGUUUUAGGUCUUCUUAGUAGACUGAAAUAAAUCCACUUGUUAAUGUUGUGUCCGUGAUAGAAACAACUUAUGCAGCCAUUAUAAAAACCAACAAUUGAAGGAUGACAUAUUUUUUCUGUAAUGUUCUCCUCAUUGUUUCUAUUAUGCAGUUACUACUGGUUGCAAUGAUUACAAUGAGUGUCUUUUUCCGGACAACAAUGAAGCAUGACACAAUUGAUGACGGAGGACUUUACCUUGGGGCACUCUAUUUUUCUACUGUUAUCAUCCUUUUUAAUGGAUUUACAGAGGUGUCCAUGCUGGUGGCCAAACUUCCUGUAAUUUACAAGCACAGGGAUUUGCACUUUUAUCCAAGCUGGAUUUAUACUCUUCCUUCUUGGAUCUUAAGUAUUCCAAUUUCACUUUUGGAAUCUGGUAUCUGGGUUGUAGUCACGUAUUAUGUGAUUGGAUAUGAUCCUGCUAUCACUAGGUAAGUGGUAAAGGUUGUGUAUUCCUUUUGAAUGUGGUGAGAUAAGGAUAAUUAUGUUGACAUGGAUGGACUUGAUUAUGGUUUCUAAAUAUGCAGAUUCUUGCGGCAACUUUUGUUAUUCUUUUCUCUGCAUCAGAUGUCUAUAGCACUCUUUCGCCUCAUGGGAUCAUUGGGACGUAACAUGAUUGUUGCCAAUACCUUUGGAUCCUUUACGAUGUUGGUUGUUAUGGCUCUUGGAGGAUAUAUCAUUUCAAGAGGUUGAUAUUGCAUGUUUUCUAUGCAACGUAUUAACAAACAUGAACUGUGCAAGUCUCACAUCUUUUCCUUCAUUGUAACAGAUCGUAUACCAAAAUGGUGGAUAUGGGGUUUUUGGUGGUCCCCAUUGAUGUACGCUCAAAAUGCUGCGUCUGUUAAUGAGUUUCUUGGGCAUUCUUGGGACAAGGUAAUAUUCUUGCUUCUACGACUAUUAAAUAAUCCAGGUGCAUCUGAUUUUAACGAUGUUGUGAACUAUUUUCUCUCUUUCUUCACUGUAUAGAGCGUUGGGAAGAAUACAAGCAUGUCACUAGGAGAAUCUUUACUGAAAGCACGCAGCCUUUUUUCAGAAAGCUAUUGGUAUUGGAUUGGUGUUGGUGCGUUGCUUGGAUAUACAGUGAUUUUCAAUUCGCUAUUCACAUUCUUCCUGGCAUACCUUAAACGUAAGCAAUCUGCUAUAAAUUGAUUAUAUUAUUUUACUUCUGCUUAUAUUUUAGCAUCGGAAGACUCUGCAAGAUGAUUUUUGAAAAAUGUAAAUUGGUUUUAAAAUUAUUUUUUCACUGAUUUGUUGCUUUCCCUUUUCUUCACAGCUUUGGGCAAAAGCCAAGCUGUAGUCUCCAAGGAAGAACUGCAAGAGAGAGAGAAAAGAAGGAAAGGAGAAACUACUGUAAUUGAGUUGAGACACUAUUUGCAGUAUUCUGGGUCAUUGAAUGGUAAGAAUCUGAUUAAGCUGUUUGAAAAACUUAGUAUAGUUUUUCUUAGCCAUUCGUCAAGUGCUGCCCUUGUCAAACUAAUUUUAUAAUUUCACCAUCUCAACUAUUUGGCAGGAAAGUACUUUAAACAGAGAGGAAUGGUACUUCCCUUCCAACAACUUUCUAUGUCUUUCAGCAAUAUUAAUUACUACGUUGACGUUCCCAUGGUGAGCUUCAAAUCCAGUUCUUUACUCAUUAUUUCGGGAACUUCUUGGUUGUAUAUCAUCUGACUUAAAAUAUUACUUCAGGAGCUAAAGCAACAAGGGGUAACAGAAGAAAGAUUACAAUUGUUGGUUAAUGUCAGUGGAUCAUUCAGACCAGGUGUGCUUACAGCUCUACUAGGAGUCAGUGGAGCUGGAAAAACCACACUCAUGGAUGUAUUGGCCGGUAGAAAAACUGGUGGGGUCAUUGAAGGAAGUAUACAUAUAUCCGGCUAUCCCAAAAGGCAGGAUACAUUUGCUAGAGUUUCUGGUUACUGUGAACAGACAGAUAUUCACUCCCCAUGUUUAACUAUUAUGGAAUCACUUCUCUUCUC
Molecule: long non-coding RNA, 52632 nt
Filed under: Cucumis sativus (cucumber)
Lineage: Eukaryota; Viridiplantae; Streptophyta; Magnoliopsida; Cucurbitales; Cucurbitaceae
Description: long non-coding RNA (CSAT_LNC000477)
Source: RNAcentral